CCGUUUGAAGUUAAGAUGUCAAUUUGAGACCUACUAUUACUCUUUUGAGUUUAAGAGGAGUCUUACGGAAGCUUUUGGAGAUCGAAAGGUGCGGCUAAAAGGGCAACUUCAAGACAUACAUCUUUUGCGAAGGAAAUUUUGCAUUUGGAGUUUAUGUAAAGGAGUUAUAGGGAGUUAAAGACAACGCAUUCAAAUCAAAGGCAGUAAGUGAGUGGUUUUGUUCAAAGUAGUGUUAGGAGCCAUAACUUGAGUUUUCGAACGAAAUUUUGGCUCAAACUUUGAAAAAAUGUAAACAUUUGUGUUAAAAAGCUAUCUAUAUAAGUUUCGUGGCAUUUGGACUUAUGGUUUGUGAGAUAUGAAGAAAAUUGUGUGUGGGUAUAUAAAGAUUAGGGUUUGAAGCGAUUGUUUGGGUUUUGAAGAUAUAUCAAAAUCCACGACGAAUUUGCGGUUGAAAUUUGUUGUACAAAUUAAUAACAACAUAUCAGUACUUCAAGUAAAUUUUGAUCUUGUUUGGACGGUGGAUCAAGAGUCAUGAGGUGUUGAGGUUUGGGAGAAUUUCCACAUAAAGAUACAUAAGGUUUUAGAAUACUUCUACCAUAUUUUGGGUGUUGUUAGUUAUUUAAGACUUAAGUAUUUGGUAUAAUUGUCCCAAAAAGAGAACUUAUAUAUAUAAAAUUAGGGUUUCCUUAUUUUAAGCUUGAUUGAGCAAUUAGUGACAGCCAGAAGUGCAGCGCUUUCUUGAGGCAAAACCUCUCUAUCCCGACAGCGUGGACUAGGAGCUUGUCUUUAGGUGGGUGCUAAUCUAAUAGUUCUCUUGUUCUUUCCAUUAAGAUUGUAGGAGGUGCGGCUACAAUAUUUUCUAUCUUUAAAGAUUUUUUUUAACUAAUGCAAUGCAAGACUAACAAUGCCAUUUCUUUUUCCUUUUUUUGAUUGAUGACUAGGUUCUCUUAUAUAAGGAAUUCUAAGAAUUGUGGAGUAAUAUACUCAUUGAUUUCUUAUUCAAUAUUUUAUUAUUUUUUUAAAAGAAAAAAAUCCUUGUGGCAAUGGAAUUUGGUAUCAAAGAUUUAGUAGCAGCAGUGCAGAUUCGCCACAAUCCUUAUUGAAUUCCAAAGUGAUGACAAUUGCCUUUGCUCUAAAGCCAUAGUAGUAUUGACCAGGAGUUGUUUUCCUUACUAGCAACAGUAUUGGUCUUGCGAUGUUUUCUAGUAUUCUCUGGUGGUGCUUCUUCUUUAUAACAUAUGGUGGUAUUGUAGUUGCAGUCAGCGUCAUCUUCUCCACUUGAUAGUUCUAGUUUGCAAGCUCAUUAAAUGUUGAAUGUUGAGUCAAAGAUUAUAGUGGUGGCAAUGCCAAUGGCAAUGUCUAGAUUUGAUGCCAUUCAGAUGAAAUUGUGUGGAACUAAGGUAUAGUUCCCAUGGUUGUAAGAAGGUUAUUUUUGUCCUAGCUCCCUUUUUUUGUGUCGAAUAUGAGUUGUGCUCUAUUUUUUUUGGUUUGAACCAAAUCUUAGAAUUGGAAAUUCCAACUUUAAUUUGAGAACCAUUUGAUAUUUGGUGAUAGAAGCAGGGGAUCAUAUAAAGAAAAUUUGUUUUGGAAAUUCAAAGAAUACAAUUUCUAUUUUAGAGGCUAGAUGACAAUUAUGUCAUUUAAAUGAUAGGAGUAUUUUUUUUUAAUUGAUAUUGCUAAUUAGUUGUACAAGUCUAGACUAGAAUUGAAUCAUUGCAUGUUGUGGAAUAAAUUGCGAUGAUCUGCUAUUAAAGAGCUCUAGUGAGUCGGUGCACAGUAGCAUUAAGAUUUCUACCCUUCUUAAUAGUAUGAUCCAAUUGAGAAGGGAGUCAAUUUGGCCAAUUGCUAACUUGACUUCGAGUAGUUGGAGUACAAAGAUUUGAUUGCAAGGUCAUUGACAAGGAUGAAUACGUAAUAAUUAUAAGGCUUUGGAAAUCAAGGGAGGCUGCUCGAAUUGUAUAACACAUUAAAUCUAAUUUUAGAGAAAUCAAGCUUCCAACUAGAUAAACAAACAACCAACACUUCCAACAAGCCACUUUCUUCCAAAAACCUUCAAGGUCACAAAUUUGGAAUGAAAUUCAAAUUGGAUUCAAUUUUUAAAAUAUAAUUUAGGAAGAGAACAAAGUUAAGUUAGGUUUAAAAGAGGUUAGGUUAGAAUGCAAUUAAAUUAAGAUUUGGUAUGAAGUAUUGGAUGUUGGGUGAUAAUUCUAAUCAAAGAUGAAAUUCUAGAAUAGAUGAGAAGUUAUUUAUAGAUGAAAAGUUAUUUAUAGAUGAUAUAUAAUACUUGAAUGAAUUUUUGUAUGGAUAGAUGGAAAUUAAUAAAAAAUAAAAUAAAAUAAAAUAAAAUAAAAUAUUUAUUAAUCAAUUUAGAUUAGAUUAGAUUAAUUAAUUAAGAAUUAAGAAACAAAAUUCUAUAUACAUGUAUGUGGUGAGUAGAUUAUUAAUAUAAGUAAAAAUUAAUAAUAGAUAUUUUGCUUAAUAAUAUGGUUUUUAAAGAAGAUUUAAGGAUUAUUUAAUUAUGGAUUAAAUAAGAAUCAUAAUAUCUAUAAUUUACAUAGUUAAUUCACUUGUUGUGAACUAGAAUAAACUUCCAACUAGUGCAGGUUUAUUUUAGCUCACACCUUAAGACCUUGGUCUUAUCUUCUAAUUUACAUCUAAGAUACCAAAAUCCAUAUGGAACUUGUGCAACUUCCUUCCUAUAAGGACUACACUAGCUAUUAAUCUUCAUAUUAUAUAUAUAUAUAUAUAUAUAUAUUUCUAAAUUUGACUUUACCAUGAUGUUCAAAAACACCAAAUUGGCCUAAGGAACUUACAAGACAUUCAAAUCUUUCUCUUUUUCUUCAUAAUAGCUUCCAAGGUGGUAAAAUUUAAUUUUAUCAAAGUCUUAAAAUUUUCUCUAAAAAUUCUUUAAUAAUUAUAAAUAAAUUUUAAAUAAAUUCUUAAAAAAUCAUAAUAUUUUUAUAAUUAUAUUAUUUUCUUACAACUACAUAAAAUAAAUUUAAAUCAACUAAAAAUCUUAUUUUUUAUAUAAAUAACAUAAAAAUCAUGAAGUUCUUUUUCUUGCUCUUUAUUACUUAACUUAAAAUUUAGGCCUUUUUUUAUAAGUAUUACAUGUAAAUAAAAGGUCAAUAUAAAAAUUGAUAUUAAUAACUAAAUAUUAAUAUUAAACAAUAAACAAAAGUACUAAAAUAACUAUGAUAAUUGCUUCCAAGACUUACUAAGAUUUCAUUUCUUUUAACAAGAUUAUUAUACUCUAUAAACAUUUCUAAAUUCUAAUAAAUACUUAAAUAAUAAUUAAUAUUCUUUAAUUCUAAUAUUUUUAUAUUUGAAUAAUUUAGAACUAUAUUUUUAACAUCUCCAUAAAUUAAAUUCUACUAGUAAGACCUACAAAAUCAUUAACGUUUUGAUAGACAGCAAAACAAAAGCAAUGCUAAAUUAAUUCACAAUGUUAUUUAAUACAAGGUACUUUGAUAGUGAGAGUGUCUAAAUGACUUAUAUUACCUUAUUUUUUAUGAAAAUAUAUUUUUAUAAUAUUGUCCUUUCAAACAUGGUGUCUUAUUUUGUAUCAAAAUAUCUUGUUGUGUCCAAUGAGAUAGGUUUUUGCUAGUACAUGCAUUUUAAUGUUUACUUUGGAUUUGAGUAUUUAAAAAAUAAUAAAUUUAAAAAAUUUAUGUUUGUGGAUUGUCGCCAUUUUUAGAUUUCCAUUUGCAUGCACGUUCCAUGCUACACUAAAAUAUGGCCAGGCAGAAUUUAUAGCUUUUUGACAUUUUUUUUAAAACAUAAAUUCUUCGAUUAAUUACAGUGGGAAUUUUUGAAGGUAUCAUUAUUUUUAUCAUAAUUAUUUUAAAAUUUAACAACUUCUGAUGUACCGUGUGGUUGAAACCGUCACACUACCAGCUCACGAAGAAUAAUACAUAUAUUUUUGAAUAAAACAGAUGUAUGAGAAUAGAGAUGAACCUCAUUUUUUGAAACGUUUAGUUAGUAUUUGAAAUAUAGAAAAAGAAAACAGUUGAAUGAAUGAAACAACGUCGAUUUUCCCAGGAGUUCAUCCCCCAGUGCAUCUAGAAGUUCAAGUCGGAAGGGAUCAUGGGAAAGUUUAGGCCAUGACACCCGAUAAAAUAAUACAACAGGGUAUACAUUACUUUCCGGAUAUAAAUAGCAGCCAAAUGUGGAUGGGCGGAGGUGGGGAGCAUCGAUGCCAAGCCACAGAAUGCCGCCCGCACCAGAAUUAAGACAGGCCCAGACAGAACGGGCAGGCUGGCAGCCGGCCACACCCACCCAAUCUGCCAAGCCCGCGACCGCCGUCUCCCACGCAGCACCGCUACUUCCAGCUCAGGAGGGCCUCGAGGAGGCCCAAUUUGCGAUGAGCCAUCUGGAUUAAACUCGCACUGCAUGUCCACAAGAAAAUCUUAAUUGAUGAAUGUUCGGCGCCCAUCCCUCCUCCCUUGUCAAGAACGAAUGAAUGAAUGGAUGGCAGCUUGGCCAACCCCCGCUCUUGGGCCCAUGCCCGCUCCCCCCCCCAAAACCCUAAUCUUCAUCUCCCCUUUUUCUCAGUCACCGUCGCGCAUUUCGGCCUCUUUUUGCCUCCCCCCGCUCCUUCCCUUCUUUGCCUCUCAGCAGGUGGCUUGUAUGCCUUCACAGGAUGUAUACCCUCGCCAGUCAGCAUUUCUCGAUCUCUCCGUUUACGUGCUGUCUCUUGCGGAUUCUUACAUUGUAAAGCUGGUAGCUUUCUUUCAGGGUUCGAUCACGCUUUGUCUUCGUCCGACUCGAGUGUUCGGGAGUUGUCACUGGGAGUGCAUCUAGGUCUUGGAACUGGGGGUUUGUCCAAGUCAGUGGCUGACGUUCAGGGAGAGUUUCCGAGGAUUGGGUUUCAUGUUUCGGUGGUUGGUUGAGAGGAGGCGUUUGAUUGCUUGUGUGACUCUCGGCAGGAGAGCGAACUGAUACAUGUGACAGUGGUCUGGGGUGAAAGCUAGAGAUUCUGCAGUUCGAUGCGAGUGCAUUCUGUGGCCUAAGCGAGAUCUCCUGGUGUGGAUUUUAUUCUAGGGUUACGUGGUCUUGGUGGAUAGGGUGCACCGGGAAGUGGCAUUCGUAUUAGAUUUCAGGAUGGAAUGCAUUGCAUAGAACUUACGUGUUACGGUAACACGUUUCCCCAUUCUCUCCCAGAUUAAAGAGAACAAAGUUAAAGCGAUGGCUACUGUUUCUUCUCUACCUCCUGGAUUUGAAGGGACAGUUUGUGGAAUACUCCCCGUUCCACAUGCAACGCAGACAACCGUGCCCAAGCAGGCAAGAGUGAAUAAGAAAGUGUCAUGGGCCUCAGAAGGCGACCUGUGUCAGGUCAUUCCUCAUCCUCCAUCUAACGUUUACCCCCUAUACGAGGUUUUCUUUAUUUUAGUUUGAAAACUUGUACAUCUUCUAUCACUGGAUCUGACCUCAGAAAGUUAAUCGAAAAGUGAAGCCGUAUCAUACUCUUACCAGGUCAAUGUUUAUGAGUGAGGGUUGGGAAUGAAGGACAAACCUUGAAGGUAUUACGUGUUUCGAAAAUUCAUGUUUCAUAUCACCUUUGAGAAGUUGCCCCUAUCUGAAAAUAUCGAAGAAUCAGUGAUAACACUUCACUCAUGUUGGUGUAAAUUACAACACUUGUGGAAUUGUGACUACAAACACAUGUGAUCAGAGGCUAGAAAAUAAUCCAAUAACGCUUCAAUGUCCCGAAAAAACUGUCAAGGCUUGAGAAUUUCAAUCCGAUAUGUGAAAAAUGGCUUUAUUUAUUUUAACAAAAAACUAUCUUUAUUCUUGAACGAACCGUAUACCUGAACUUCAAGGUUCAAGGAUGCAAGGUAUAUCUCUUAGUAAUGAAGGUGAUGCGAGACAGGGUGUUGGUUACGUCUUCCGAGGCUUGUCUGGUUCUGAAGAAUGCGUAUAGAUUACGCCUGUCGUUUACAUGGUUUCUUUAAGCGCGAUGAGCAAUCUACAUGUAGAGCUUUCGGGUUACUCUUCUUCCUUUUGUGCCUGCAUUACUUUCUCGUCUACAUAGAUUUGAUAGAUGUACAUGCGCUCCACUCGUAAGAUCAUGUCGGUGUCGCGGUGUACUUGCUGGAGUGUCUACGUUCUAUCUUUGGCACAGUUUUUUCGGAUAGAUUUUCACUCAGUCAUAUACCCGCUUGUGCAGUUCUUGUUCCUUUUUGUCAAGGGACUUUGAAGAGCAGAAACACAUGCUCGAUAUCCUUGAUUUGAAUAGUUUUUCUCUCGGCCGUUUUGGUCCAGUUCUCGAACUUAGAUAUUUUGUUAGAUUUUUAAUUAGAUCGUCAACCGUCAUUGAAUUUUUCAGUGUAAGUAUGUGAUCAUUAUCGAAAGGUGUGUGUACUAUCUGAGAAACUUAUAUAAAGUAUUCCAAUCGACAGAGCACUACAUGGAGAGCCGGUUUGGUGAUUGUUGAUAGGCAAACCUAAUCGUGACCAAAUUUAUGUGAUCUAGAAACUAAUUGUGGAAGAACUUGUGGACUCUAGUCUAUUGCAAUAACGCGAACUUGGGAGACAAAAAGCUACCCGUCAUUUGGAAGGCAUACAUGCAAUUCCUACAUGGAUAGCAUCUCUUAAGGUCAAGGGAUGUUAAUGCUUACGUCAGAGUCUUUUGCGACCUCUGUAACUUGUUGCGAAGGUUUCAACAUUACAUGACUCGUUGUCGAAGCGGAAGAGCUGAAUCAGCUUCUUGUAGAUGUCCAUGCUGGCCUAGUUAUUUAUAUCGUCAUUAAAACUAGUUCUACGUUUUAUCUGCGAAAUGCAGCAAGAAUCUCAACUCUUGGUGCGUCGAAAGUAAAUUGAAGUACUAAUGUCGCGAUUUAAGCAUUAAUUCUUCAUUUGUUUUACUGGUGCUCGGAGUAUUGGUACUCACUCGCAUGAAACUUUGGGAAUGUGGGUAGUCGAGAUGACGACGAAUACCUUAGUGUUUCUGAAGUCGCUGAGCUUCAACCAGUGUCGAAAUAAACAUUUUUGCAUUCAUAACUUUCACUUUUUCUCAUAAAUUACUGCACAUAGGCGAAUAACUUACCGCUCUCUACAGGGCAUGCAAUCUGAUAUAUGCACAAUCAUGUGAUGUAGGUGCGGCUCUUUGCAGCAGAAGAUGCACCAGCUCAAUCGAGUAUCAUGCUUCAGGACCUUCUCCAGGCCAAAAAAGCGAGAUUCAUGCAUGCCUUGAAUCCUAUAGUUUCCGUAGAUUUACCUCCAGGAUUUGGGCCCUCCUCCCUGAUGGGAGUAAAGCCACUUGUGGCACCAAUCUUGCCAUCUGUGUCAUGGCGGAUUCCUGAAUGUGUAAGUUCCUAUGUUCAAUACUUAGACUUUUCUGAAUACUCUGAAGCCUUUAGUUUUAGGUGGCGUCACACUGGCAUCUUCUUUUUGAGUAUGUGCAGAUGAUCCUGAAUCUAACAGGAGACCAGUGUUUACCCCGCCAGAACUCAUAUUUGCUCUCCCAGCGAUCGCUGUCACAACGAAAAUCUGACUUUUUAUUUUUUAAUUAAUUCUCUCUUCUAGUAUAGCUUGUUCGAGGCUGCUGUCUAUGGCUCAAGUGCUGGGAACUAUAAUCUUACGACGAAGUUUACUGUCGUAUGCCCUAGCUUUAUUCGAUAUACAUCGAUAAACAUCUGAUGCUAUAUUUUCGAAUUCUAUACAGUUCAAAUUGGAUCCAACAUGGCUCGUGAUGGCGGGGGAAGAAAGCAAGGAGGUGUUCGCUCAAAAACAGCGAGAAAACAGAACCCUUGAAGCCGUGUAUCCUCGACCCUCAGCUAUUCCUGAAAGGUGUGUUGAUACUCGUGUGGUAUUCUUUUUAUAUGUUGUGUUUCAGGUUAAUUUCAGGUUAUUUAUUUGUAUGAUUUUGGAAUUGAUGAACCGAUUCACUUUCUUUGUCGCUGAGCAGUCCAACAAAAUGAUUGUUGGCAAAUCAGUACAUCUGGUUGCAUAGAACAGCUGCUGACACCUUAAGACUUGUGACCUUCCAGUCCAGCAGAGCCUUCCGAAGUGCAAUUGCCUUUUGAUGAAGAUGAUUCAAAUACACUCAUUAUCCCAGUUGUCCCAUUAGAAGAUGACGAACUACCUGAAGCGGAUGAUCUUCCAACAACUUCAGGAAGCACGUAUAAAUCUAAACAAGAGCCGUUUUCAGGUAAGCUUCCUAUCUUAUUUGUUUAUUUAACUAUUUAUCUAUUUUUGCAGCUUUAGGUAUUCGCAUACAUCAAAAGAAUUACACUCUUUGGUUGCAAGCUAUCAUGUUACCCCUCAACUUAUAAGGGUCGGACGCUGUUUUGAAGGUCGCAGCACUGAUACAGGAUGAUAUUUUGAAGCGUAAUAUCUGUUCUUUAACUGUUGACAAUCUAAUCUGAAACCCAAUGUGCAGGUUUAAAAUCGUUAUCCCCUCCACCAGGGUUUUUGUCAACAAGCAUGCCUGUGAAACCUCGAACUUGGUUUCCUGUAGCUCCCCUAGAGAAUAAUAAUUUGUCACUACCUGCACACACGACACCAGCAUACGGACCACCCGUCACCGUCAAUAGAAACAUAAUACCUCCAAAUGGCACCGUUGUGCAGACGACGAACAUGUCUAACGCUCGUACGGGAUCGUUGGGUCUUCCUGUUCGUGCGGCUGAGGGAGGGACAGAACCAGACGUUCCUGCAGCCGCCGCCGCUGCCUACGCGGCUUUACAGCAGUCUAAUGAUACAACGAUGAUAGAUCGAGAGUUAUUGAUAAAGUUUCUCACAAAUCCUUCAAUGCUACAGAGUCUCUCUGAAAAACUUGCACAGAAUCCUCCGGGAAAUUAUGGAGUCGUUAAUCGGAGAAUCCCAGAAAGUGUAGACCACAGUGGAAUAGGAGCUCGUGGAAAUGGACGAGUUUGGAAUCCUACAGUGACUGAACAUGCUAAGAGUGGACAAAGACACCUUGAAACAGCGGUAGGUAUAACAGAUCCUCACAUGAGACAUGGUUAUGAUAGGCCACCUGGCUUUGGGGCACCUUCAGGUGCCAACGCACUUGGUCAAGCACCUCCUCAACCCGGACAAGGGUACGCACAUCCCGGGCCUCUUACCAUUCAGUCCCUACCACUCCCUAACAUGCCCCCACCCACUUCUGUUGGUUAUGACCAGUCAAUAGUAUCUGGUUCAGGGCGACCUAUCUCACAGCGAGACGAACAAUACUACAAAGACCUCAUUUCACAGCAUGGAAAAAACGAGGAAGAUAUUUGGGGAGCAAUUGGUGUGCCCGAGACUGGAAACAGUUAUCCUGGAGGUGGACGGCCCAGGGCAUCUGGUCUUGAUAGGGAGAAGAGGUUAGGUAGCGCAGAACGAACAGAGAGACCUGAGAGGACUGACUCAAGAGCAAGGUGGGCAGGAAGAGAAGAUGUGGACAUGGCAGGACUUUCAAUUAGGCAAGGUGACGGUGAUCAAGCCAAUCGGUCAGGCCAGUCUCGGGGAAAAUCUCGAAAAGCCUGCAUAUACUUCAGCACAUCCCGAGGUUGUCGGAACGGAUCCAGUUGUGCAUUUUUGCACGAGACUAACAACGCAGAAAGGGCAAAGAGACCGAAACUGGAAGGGAAGGAGAGCAAUAUAGGAUAUAGAUAAAAUUCUCAAACGGAGUUCACAAGCUCUUAACAAAUCACACUAACUGUGCCCAGAAUGACAGACCUAACAUAAAGUGGUCAUGCAUGUACAACAUGAUUUAAGAUAGGAAGGUGGAAGUGAAGCCUCGUCUGAGGCAAGCGCGGCUGCGCUUCAGUUCGACAACGCCACUUCUGCACACAUGUUAACGAAGUCUUUCAAGCGGCUCAAAACUUCUGCCUUGGUAUCUCGAGGAACCAAGCGGUAACCAGUUAUUCCGCCUCCUAGAUCUGCUGGGCGUUUCCAUUUGUGCUAGGAAUUAAAGCGAAACUCGAGAAGUUUUUGAAUCGCUGAUUGACUGCCCUCGAAACAAGAAAUCAUCUCUUACCACAUCAGAGCGUCAUGCAGAACUGUUGCUUCUGCGUAUUCCUGAAACUUAUGAACAAGAAGCUCCCCGCCUCUGAUCCUUUUGACGAAAAACCAACAGCAGUUACGCUUCAAAAAAUGUACCAAGCAACUGGUUUGAAAAGCGCUGUCGACUCCGCCGACUGGGGUCUUCCAGUAGUCCCUGGACGAAUGUGACGUGGCUAAGGUGGAGGAUUAAUUACUGUGAUUCUUUCCAACACAAGCUUGUCAGAGUUGUGAGGGCACGUAGACGGAAGUCAAUGUUAAUGCGCACCACGCCAGAUUGUUCCUGGAGAACCGUGCAAAGAAGAUGGGCAGAACUGUUCAUGUACAUUACACUCGUGGAUUUAUUCACUUUGCUUGCACCAUUUUUGAGGAAAAUUGCAAUACCAAACUAAUCACCUUGUGUCUACCUGGAAUUCUGCCGCCUUGAGCAUGGCGGAUUUCAGCCUCCCACUGUUACAUGAUAGCAUUUUCUCACAUUCCGAGGCCUUCUGUACACAUGGUUGUGCAGGACACUUAAUGCAGUCAGUUGUCUUUCCACUUCCUCCCUCAUUGAUAGCUUCUCCAGAGCUCCACAAUUGAUAGCGCGUUUUCUUCACGCUUGUGCAGGGCGUAUUCGUUUUCUGAUUACGUUCUGCACAAUCAUGCAUGAUGUGCGAUAUUUUUGUCUCGUUUAUUGUCCAUUCUCACGUAGAGGUAGUUUCCUCCAAAUGCAUGGAGUCUGUGUUUUGAACAUUGUAAGGUUCAACAAUUUGUUUGCUAAGGGACAUACAUCUGUAUAAUAAAUGAUAAGAAUGGAAUACAUACAUUUAUAUUCUAAUAAUAGAUAGGUGCACAUUGGGACACAAACAAUGAAUAGAGAAAGGACACACAAGCCUCUCAUUGGCUAAAACUCUAUCUUUCUAUUUAUCAUCCAGAAUAUUAACUAGAUUUCAGCAGUGAUGUUUCCAAAGGAGAAUAAUAACUAGAGUUGACACAGUUUACGAAAGAUGUGUUGUCUUCAAAGUGGAAAAUAUUUCCAAAGCAAAAUAAUUGAUGAUGUUGACAAGAAUAAUUUUUAUGCUCAAUUAAUUUUCCAAAUAAUAGUUACUUGGUCUUAUUCUGUGGUUACUUGUUACAUGAUACGAUGUUUAAAUAGACAUUACAUAAAACACCCAUUGGAUAAGUUCAUAAUUCAACAUAAAGAAACUUGGCAUGGAUUACUUAGCUUUCUUUGAUAUUUCUCUAUUAUUAAUUUGAUGUGCAUGCUAAUUCUUCAAAAUAUAUAUAUAUUUAUUUUCCUUUCGAAUCUUUGAUCAAGUGUCCCCUCUUCAUACAAUCCAAACAGCAAAAAUUAUAAUUUUUAUUGCUUAGUUAUAUCUAUAUAUGAUUGUAAUGUAAAUCAAAGAUAUUUUUACAUGAUGUUUUCUAUUUCUCUACUGCAUUUUGAAUUUAGAAGCACUUACACAAUUAUAUAUAAAGAUUCAUAAAAGAACAUAUGUGUGUUUUUAAACGUUCAUACUUAUAUAUAUAUAUAUAUAUAUAUAUAUAUAUAUGUAUAUCCAAUUUCAUAAUUUGAAACAAAAUUACAUAUCUGACCACUUAGUAAUAUACAAAACCACAUCUAGCUUUGAAAACAUUCAAUAGAAUAAAUAAAGAUGAAUUUAUUAAAGUGGGUUCAUUAAAUUGUGAGAAAUUCGAAUUUUAAUAACAUUGGGAUAUAAUGAUGCUAUUUAUCAAAUAUUUCCACAACAACAUAUUUAUUGGACAAGGAAACAUGGUAUCAUUUUUAUAAAAUCACAAGUUAUCCUUUUACUUUUGAUCAUACAGAUAACUCAAUAAUUAUUUUUAGUUAUAUAACAUCAAAUUUUCAAUAUUAAAAACAUAAAGAAUUUUUGUAUUAAAUAAAAGAAUUUAAUUCUUAAAAUUUUUAAAAACAAAUCUUUGACAUGUCAUAUGAUCAGAUUAAUUAUAAUUAAACAAUCAAAUAAAAUAAGAAAUUUCAUUUCUCUUUUCUAAUGUCAAAUAUAUAUUCAUAUGAUCUUAUUAAUAAUUUACUAAUGUUAUAUUUUGAUUUCUGAAAAUAUAUAUAUUUUUGAUAAUAUUACUAUUAUUACUCUUUAUAUUUGCAUCUCUCUCUCUCUCUAUAUAUAUGUAUGUAUAUAUAUAUAUAUAUAUAUAUAUAUAGAUAUAUAUAUACUAUAAAAUUUGUUUAAUUUUAAAAACUGAAGGUUUUUAAAAUAAUAUUUGUUCUAUAAAUAAUUCAAAAUUUAAUCAGAAUUUUAUUUUAAACAUUUGAAUAAGAAGCGUGUAUAUAUAUAUAUAUAUGUCUAUCAAAUAUUUGCAAUUUGGAUCUGUCUGUAAAGAUGUCCUUAAUAUUGUGAUGUUGUGGAUAUAAAAAAUUAUUGAGUGUACGUAAUUAUUAUAUUAUUUGCAUAAUAUGUGUUUGUUGUUCACAUGAUUAUUGCAUCUAAUAUAAAUGUAUUUAAAAUUCUAUGUAAUUUGUUGAUAUUUUUUGUAAAAUAAAUCAGUUUUAAAAAAAAUGUGUAUUUUUAUUAUGGUUAAUUUUUAAAAUAUACAAAAAAAAUUAAGAUAUAUAUAUAUAUAUAUAUAUAUAUAUAUAUACCUUACUUAAUUUAUAACUUUGGAUAGAAAUUUUAUAAAUUAUUUAAGAUUUUAUAAUGUAUUUGGGAUACAUAUUACUAAAUAUGUCCUUUUGUUCUAACAAACAUUAUUAAGUAAACUAGGAAUAUUAAUUAAGAGGUAUCAAAUAAUAAGGAUAUAUUUGUAUUUUUUGGAUAGAUGUGUGCAUAUAGAUAUAAAUAAAAAACUACUUUAUAAUUUUAUAAUGGUUAAAAAAAAUUAAAUUAAAAAAAUUUUAAACUUAUAUGUUUGUAUGUUUUUAUAAAUUUUUAUAAAUUUUGAGAAUUACAUAAAUUAAAACUAAAAAUAUUUUACAAAGAAUUACUAUCAAGGAUAUAAACCACAAAAAAUUAUAAAAAUACAAAUACAUUCUUAUAUUACCACUAAUUAGAAUGAGAAUGACUUCAUCCUUGCCUCUAUAUAUACUAUCUAUUAAAGAAUUACAUAGUAAUGUCUUGGAGUCCAAAUGAUACAUGUGCAAUUUGCAAGAUAUGUGUCUAAUUAAUAGAGUGAAUUUUUGAUAUGUGUGCAACAUGACCAACUUGUAAUAUAAGUGGCUAAAUAUGCAAUAUAUAACUAAGUUGUCAAUUUAUCAAUUACUUAUAAACAUGUGUAAAGUCUACAUAGCUUUUAGCAAACUUCAUAAUCAAAUAUCAACAAUUUUAGCUAUUUCGAUUUAAUUCUAUGUAGUUCUACUUAUUUAAGUAAAUGUAAUAAUAAAUAUGGCUAUUCUUUACAUUACUCCUUCUUCUUUCUAAGCAAUAAGUUCAACAACUAUUUGUUUUAUUGCUUCAUAAAUUAAUGAAGUCCAAGAUCUGUCAAAUGAUGUUAGCAACAAACUCUGAUCUUGGUUUUAUACCAAGGUCAUUAAUAGAUUUCUUUAACCAUUAGUAAACUCUUAUAUUAGAAUGAGAAGACCAGCUAAUAGUUUGAUCAUUAUUAAGAUCCUCAUAGCUACCUUCAAAUAAUAUAUUUUGCAUUCCAUCAAGUAUAGUACCUUCCUUCAAUAAUAUCACUAAGCAUUGAGAGUCUCCUUCAAGAUUGUAAUAUCAAACAAGUUGCAUAUGACCAUGUGUUUGUGGAAAAACAUGUCUCUCUUGAGGACCUUCAUUAUAAUUGCAACCUUUUUUAGGUUGAGACAAUUUAAGUGCUUCAUCUCGUAAUUUUACAAAUAAUAAGUUUUGAAAUAAAUUUUCUAGGUUUUGAUUUUUUAUGUUUAACUAAGAACCCUUCAAAUUGAUUUUUAAACUUAUUUAUCCUUAAUAUAUUUCAUAUUAAUUUUAAUUAUUAGUCCUUGAUUUUAAUGGAUAUUAUCAAUGAAAAACAAAUUCUAAUGUAUUUGCUAGAUUUUCAUAUAGCUCCUAUACACAUUGAUUAAUAUUAUAUAUGUACCAAUGUAUGAAAUAUUCUAAUUUAUUUUGAUACCAUUUAGAAUCAAAAAUAUAAGGCUUAAUAAGAAACACAUAGAAUAAAUGAUAACUCUUCAUUUAUAGUAGUAAUUGCAUUUAAUUAUUAUCUUUUCAUAAUAAAUAGGCCAAGUAUUUAUCAAUCCAACUUGUCACAAGGUCAAUUAGAUUUAAUAUUACAAUAAGGUAACUAUAUCUUAUAACCAAAUUUAAAUAAAAGUAAUUAUUUUCUAAAAAUAUCUAUAUUUAUUUUUUAUUGUUCUUGAACCUCUUUUAAUUAUAUCUUUAUUGUUAUAUAAAGCUCUUUUAUUUUACUUGUCAAAUCCUUUGUUAUAAGAUUUUUAAUUUUAAAAAAUAAAAAGUAUCAAAUUAUAGAUAGUAAUCAUAGUUAAUAAUAAAUAGAAUUUUUUGUAUAAAAGAAUUUAUUCUAUUAUUAUUUUAAAAUUCAAAUAAUAGUAAGAAAUUUAUCCAAUUAUUUUUUUGGUAGUUGAUGGUAUAUAAUAAAUAUUUUUUUAAUACUUAAUUCACAUAUUUUAUUUGUUAAUAAGUGUAAUCAAAAAAAGUUGAGGUUAACUUAGAAUUAACUUGUAAUAUGUAAAAGAAUAUCUUCCAAAUGAUAUUUUUAAUUGAGGCCCAUAAUCAAAUAUAAUGUUACUUUGAUGUUUAUAAUAUCAAUAAGUAUUGUCUAAGAAGAGUUUAGUUGUUUCUUCAUUGGUGUUGUUUUAUGUAAAAAUUAGUCUAAGAAUGCAUUUGGCAUCUGGCUAUAGAAGGUUAUGAUCUUACCUUCCAAUUGGAUUUAGAAUCCAAAAAUAUAUUACAUAAAGAGUUUAGAAAUAACUUAGUAAUCCUUAACAAUCAAAUAAUCUUUGCAUAUUAUAUUUAAUUUUAAGUAAAUCUUAAAAAAACUUAAUUAAAUAUUCAAAAAAAUAAAAAAUAUAUAUAUAUAUAUAUAGAAAUCCUAAAGAAAAUAUAAUAAAUUUUAAAAAAUCAAAAGAAAUUACAAAAAAAUCUUAAAAACAAGAAAUAAGAAAAUAAGAAAUAUCUUUAAUCAAGAAAAUCAAAUCUAUACAUGUAGAAAUCAUAGAUGGUUGUUUAUUAUCCUUUAAAAGCAUUAUCUAUGAAUUAAUUCUUUUAGAUGUAGCAAUUAAAGAUCAUAAUAAUUUAAUGAUAUUUAAUAUCAUUAAAUCUUCUUUCAAUCCAAUUAUUUUAGGAUUAUUGUGGUUAGAGAAGUAUAAUCCUCAAAUAGACUAGAUUUUUUUCAUAAUUUUGCCUAACAUUCUACUAAUCAAGUAGAAAUCCAUAAAUCUAAUAUAACUAAAUCCUUAUUGAUAGGUCCAAGAGCUUUCAUACAUGUUGCAAAAGAAGAAUCAACUUUUGUUAUAUCUAUCACACUUAUUUUCAAUGGAAUAAAGACUUCAAGUAGAAUUUUAAGGUAAUAUCAAGAUUAUUUAGAUAUUUUUAGAAGAAGAAUAUCAAUAUUCUUUUAGAGUAUUAUCUCCAUUAUUAUUCUAUUGAUAUUCUAGGAAGAGCUCAACUACCAUUCUAACCAAUCUAUAGCUUAUUACAAAACAAGUUAAUUACAUUCAAAGAAUAUAUUAAUAAGAACUUGGCUAAAAACUUUAUAUGCUAUUUUAAAUCUCUAUUAAGAGCUCUUAUCUUAUUUAUGGAGAAAAAAGAUGGAUCUUUGUCAAUAUAUGUAGACUAUUAAGAAUUCAACAAGAUCACCAUGAAUAAUAUGCAUCCUUUACCUUUGAUUUUAGGACUUCUUGAUCAAGUCAAUCAAAGAAAGAUCAACAGAAAAAUAGAUCUACAAAGAGCAUACAAUCUAAUAUACAUCAAAAAAGAAGAUGAAUAGAAAAUUAUAUUUUGAACCAAGUAUGGGUAUUUCAAAUAUAAUGUCAUGCCUUUUGGACUCACAAACAUAUUAAUUUCAUUUCAAUAUCUAAUAAAUGAUGUUAUUUGUGAAUUUUUUGAUGAUUUUUUUAUUUGUUAUUUAGAUAAUAUUUUAAUCUACUCUAAAAAAAUAAAAGAGCCUAAAUUUCAAAUUCAUUGUGUGUUAUAAAAAUUUAGAAAUGUAAGAUUAUAUGCCAAGAUGAAAAAAUGUGUAUUUCAUACUACUUAAGUUGACAUUUUAGGAUUCAUUUUUUCAAACAAUGGCCUUAUAAUAGAUUCUAAAAAUACCCAAACUAUCAUGGAUUGGAAGAUUCUAAAAAUAAUAAAAAAUAGAUAAUAUCUUUUGAGAUUUGUCAAUUAUUAUCAAAUAUUCAUCAAAAGCAUUUUUAAAAUUAUAGUCCUUCUUUUAUAUUUGACAUGUAAAGAAAAACUUGAGUAGAAUAAAGAAAUUGAAGCUUCUUUUCAAGCCUUGAAGAUCUUAUUUAUUUUUGAACCAAUCUUAUAUUGCGUUGACUUUUUCAAAGUAAUUUUUAUAAAAAUACACACAUUUAAUUUUGCUAUAUUAUUACAAAUGGAAGCAAAUGACAAGCUCCAUCUGAUAUCUUUCUAUUAUUAAACAAUUUCAACACUUGAAACCAACUACGAGAUCUAUAACAAAGACCUUCUUGCAAUUAUAGAUUCAUUUCAAGAAUAGUGUUAUUAUUUAGAUGACACUUUCAAUUCAGUCAUUGUAUAUAUCAAUCACAAGAAUCUUAAGUAUUUUAUCACAAAAAUAUGUCCUUUUCAAAUGUUUUUAUCUUGCAUCCAAAAAAAAAGAUGCAUAUUUUGGUCAACAAAGAAUAAUUCUAUUAAAUCCAAAGCAUUUUCUCUUUAAGCAAUGAAAUCAAUAUUUAUUAUUGAUUCAAGAUUUUUUCAAGUAAGUUCAAUUGAGUAUAUCCUUUGGUCUUCUUAUUUAUAAUAUUAAUGAUAAUUCUUUGAAAUAUUUUUAUAUUUAUAAAUUUGAGUUUAAAAAUAAUCUAUUAUUUUUUAAAGUAUAAUUAUACAUUUCAAAAGGCAAAGUACAAUAACAUAUUUUUCAAGCUUUUCACAACUUUCUAAUAGUUGGACAUUUUGCAUAUAAGAAGUUUUUGGAGCUAAUAUCCAAAUAUUUUUAGUGGCUUUAAAUAUGGAAGGUAGUCAAAGACUUUGUACAAUUAUAUAACAUUUAUUCAAGGUCAAAAACUUCUUGUCAUCAAUAUCAUGGACUUCUUCAGCUAUUAUCUAUUAUGAAACAAUGAUGGUCUUUUGUUUCUAUAGAAUUUAUGACGGAUCUUCUAAUCUUAAGUUCUUAUGAUAUUAUAUUUAUAAUAAUAGAUCAUUUUAUAAAGAUGUCAUAUUUUAUAUCAUAUAUAAAAUACAUCAGAGGUAAAAAAUAGCUAAGCAUCUUAUUAUUAAUAUCUAUCACUAUCAUGGAUUUUUCAAAGAUAUUAUAUCUAAUAGGAAAAUUUAAUUUAUAUUAAGAUUUUAGAAAUUUCUUUUUAAGAUUUUGUCAAGGAUAAGAAUCUUUAAGAAAGGAAAUCUUCAAUAUACUCUUAUGUCACUGAGGAAAAUUAAAAAGUCAUUCAAAAGGUGAUGUAAUAUUAAACUAGUAUGGCUAUUGCUAAAAACAAGAAGACUAAAAAGACUAAAAAGACUAUUUCUUACAAGACUUAGAACAAGAAGACUAAAAAUACUAAGAAACUAAUAUGGCUAAACUUGUAAAGUUGACUUGUAAAGUCAACACAUUUUGGAGGUCCUAUAAGACAUCGCCAUAUAGCUCCUAGUUAAAAGUAUAUAUGGAGGUAAGAGUAGAGUCUUCUUCACUCUUAUCAACGCCUUUCUAGUCCUUAGUCUUGUUUCAAAACUUGUAAGAAAUUUUUUCUAUAUGUGUAUCAUAUAGUUAGCUUGUUUUGCAAGCUGUCAAUAUGUGGUUAACUUGUUGACCAAGUUUUUAAUCUAUUAAUCAACUACAAAUACAUGUAAAGUCAAGCAGUAUCUAUGAAGCUUCUAGAAAGCUUCUAUAAAAGGUCUUAUAAAAUUAACCUACUUUUAUCUACUUUUAUCUAUUCUUACCUAAUUAUAUAACUAUUUAUUAAAAUACCUAUAUAUUUUUGUGACAUUAUCUCUUCUUCUAGGGACAAGUUCUACAAGGACCAGGCUUCAUAUGUUGAAGAAAUUCAAGAUGCAGUAAAUUAUAUUUGCCAUAUAUGUUGAUCUUUGUUCUCUUCGAAGAUGGUUGAUAGGCCUUCUCACCUAUUGAUAGUGUCCUAUAGCAAGGUGAGAAGAUUAUCUUAUUAUUUGGUUGUUAUUGAAACCUUCGUAACUUCCUUCAAAUAAAACAUUUGAAACAUUGUUAAGAGUUGUUCCUACCUCUAAUAAAAUCAUCAAACAUCGGGAUUCUUUUCCAAGGUUGUGAUACCAAAUAUAUUGUAUCUCACCAUCUAUUCAAGAAAAGACAUGUCUUUCUUUAAGAUCUUCAUCUUGAUUUUAUUAUCUUGAAGAUUGUGACAAUUAUAAUAUCUCAUCUAGUAAGUCCGCAAAUAAAAGCUCUUCAAUUGAAUCUAUUGGUUGUUGAUUUUUCAUCUUUUUAAUUACAUACAAGCUACAAAGAAGGAUAGAAAAUAGAGUAUUAUUUUCUUUUGAUCUUAUGUCUUAUAUAUCAAAGAUUUGUUAUUCUUCAUAUUAGUUUUGAUGGAUAUCGUUGAUGAAAGGCUUCAACUUUCUUUACUGCAUUUGCAAGAUUCUUUGAUGGCUUCCAUGUACAUUUACUAAUAUCAUAUCCGCCCCAAUGAACAAGAUAUUCUAAUCUAUUUUGGCGUUGCCUUGAAUCUAAGACUCUGCCACCUUAAACUCUUGAUUAUUAUCUACUUCUUUGGGAGGAAGUGGCAUUUAUCUUCUUCCUAAGAAAUUCACUAUCUUAUAUGGCUCAAGAAGGGACAUGUGAAAUAUUAAGUGGAUCUUCAUAAAUUCUAGUAGAUGUAAUCGAUAAGCAACAGGAUUGAUUUGUUUACAAAUAGAAAUAUAUUCCAGCUUAAGAUAGUCCAACUUAUCACAAGGACAAGUAGUCUUCAUAUUGCAAUAAAGUAACCAUAUUUUGUCAUCUAUGUUGAAUUAUGGUUGCUCUUUGUGAUAGGCAUCUACGUUAGUCUUUUGUCAUUCUUGAGCUUCAUUUAAUUGUGUCUUCAUUGUUGUAUGUAGCUUUGACAAAUAAUUUACUAAAUCUUCUACUGUAAAAUUAUCAACUUUUAAAAAGUCAAAAAUAUCAAGUCGUAGAUGAUAAUCAUAAUUAAAUAUAUAUAUAUAUUGAGUAGAAGAAUAUAUCAAAUUACUGUAUACAAACUUUGUCAAUGACAAAAAAAUUAUUCAAUCAUUUUGAUGAUAGUUGAUCGUAUAUCUCAAAUAUUGCUCUAAAAUUUGAUUCACUUAUUCCAUUUGUCCAUCAAUUUGAGGAUGAAAAGUCAAAAAAAGCUUUAUAUCCACCUUUAGAAACUUGAAUAGGAUUUUUUACAAUCUUAAUACAAAUUGAGUCUCCCUAUUCAAUAUAAUAUCUUUUGGCAAUCUAUAAUAGUAAUAGAUAUUAUCAAUGAAAAGUUUAGUUAUUUUUUCACCUGAAAUAGAUUUUAUACAUAGUACAAAAUGUACCAUUUUGGUGAAGAAAUAUACAAUUAUAAAUAUAAAAUCAUGUCAACUUCAACUUAGAAGAUUUGUAAUAAAAUCCAUAGAAAUAGAUGACCAUAGUUGUUUAAAUAUAGGCAAUGAUUGGAAAAGUUCAUAGAAUCAAUGAUGAAGAGUUUUUGAUCUUGAAUAAAUGUCACAUGAGUGAACAAAGUCUUUUACCAUAUUUCAUAUUUGUGGCCACCAAAAAUCUUUGGAUAUAAGCUCUAAAGUCUUAUUGUAUUUAAAAUAUACUGUUGUUGAAAAGUCAUGAUGUACUUGAAAAACACAUAAACGUGCUUUUCUUUCUAAAACAUAUAGGGGUCCUUCAAAAUAGAGAAGGUUAUUCUUAAACUCAAAUUUUGAAACAUCAUGAGACUUAAAAAAAAAGAUUCUUGAUAUCAUGAAUAAGAAGAUCAGAGGGCAUACUUGAUUGAAUUUAUUUGACAAAGGUCGAAUCAACAAUCAAUGUUGAUUUUAUUGCUUGAAGAUGAAAAUAAUUUGGCUUCAAGAAGAUUGUUCUUUGUUGAUUAAAAGAUACGUCUGUUCUUUUGAUGUAAGAUAAGAGUAUCUAAAAAAAGUAUUUAAUAAAUCUUAUUAUUUUUUAGAUUGAUAUGUGAUCUUAAAAUCAAAACUUGAUAAUAUUAUGCUCCAAUGGGCUUAGCAACAAUUCAAAACAUGUGUCGACAUGAAAUACUUGAGAUUCUUGUAAUCCAUAUAUAUUGUGAUUUGACUUAAAACACCUUUUAGAUAAUAAUACUAUUCUUGAAAUGAAUCUAUAAUUGCAAGAAGUUCUUUGUUGUAGAUCUCAUAGUUAAUCUCAAUUGCUAAAAAUUUCUUAGAAUAGAAAGCUAUUGGAUGGAGUUUGUUACUUAUUUCUAUUUAUGUAAUAAUGCACUGAAGGCAAAAUCUGAUGCAUUUGUUUCCAUAAAUAAUGCUUUAGAAAAGUGGACGUGAUACAAAGUUGGUACAGAAAUAAAUUUCUUCUCCAAAGCAAAAAACAAUGUUUUGGCUUCUUUAUAUGUCAAAUGUAUAAAUGGAGUUGCAACUUGAGAAAAGUUCUUGAUAAAGAUUUGAUAAUAAUUGGCAAAGUCUAAAAAGCAUUGCAUAUCUCUUACUAUUCUUGAGAUCUUCUAAUUUAUGAUAGUUUGGACCUUCUUUGGAUCCAUCAUAAGGCCUUCAUUGGAAAUGAUGUAUUCCAAAAAUUCAACUUGAGUAGUGUCGAAUAUAUAUAUUUUCAUCUUUAUGUUGUCAUAUUGUAAUUACUUAUAGUAUGUAAAAAUUAAUUAAACCAUAUAAUAUGUUUAUGAUUCCUAAUGUAUAUUAGAAUAGUUAUUAGGUUAAUAUAAAGAAAAUUGAUGUAGAAAAAUUUAUUUUAAGGUUUACUUAUUUUUAUUAUAAUAUUUAAAUUAUAUAAGAUUUAGAUAUUUAUAAUAAAGUUAUAAGAGAAGAUUGGAGUUCAAAGUUGAAGACUCAAACUAUUAAGAAGCUUGUUUGGAAGAAUAAAGGUAAGAUAUGGAUAGAUGAAAGCAUAGGGUGAAGAUCUUCAUCCCUAUUGGUUGAAGACCAUAUCCAAUAGACUUUUAGGAGGUGGUCUGUGAUCAUAAGAAGAAUUUUUGGUGACCUUAGAGGAGCAUUUGAGAAUCAAAAAUUAGGAUUAUAAGAUUUAAGAUUCGAGCUACAAUUUUGAUGUAAAAAUUAGUGAGUUUGGAAUUAGGGUCAAGAAGUUAUAGGCAUUUGAAGUUAAGAUAUUGUUUUAAGAUAUACUAUUGCUCUUUUGAGCAUACAAGGAGUUUUACAAAAGUUUUUGGAUAUUAAAAGAUGUGACUAGAAUGGCAAUUUUAUUACUUAUAUCUUCUAUGAAAGAAUUGUUACAUUUCGAGUUUAGAUGAAGAAGUUAUAGAGAACUGAAGUCAGUGUAUUCAAAUCAAAAGCAAUAAGUAAGUGAUUUUAUUCAUAGUAAUGGUUGGAGCCAUAUCUUAAAUUUUUGUAUAAAUUUUUGGCUCAAACCUUUUGAAAAAGGUAGAUUAUUGCAUUAAGAAGGUAUACAUAUAAAAUUUGUGGCAUUUGAGUACUUAUUUUGUGAGAUAUGAAGAAAAUUAUAUGUAGGUAUAUAAAAACUAGGAUUUGAAGCUACUGUUAGGAUUUUGGUAAUAUCAUAAGAUCCGUAAUAAAUUUGCAAUUGAAAUUUAUUACAAUAUUUAUGAAAAUACAUCAGUAUUUUAUAUAAAAUUUGAGUGUGUUUGAAUGGUCCAAUUGGAAGAUAUGAGGUAUUGAAGUUUGGAAAUAAUAUCCCAUAAGGAUAUAUAAGGAUUUAGAAUUUUUAUCAUAUUUUGGGUAUUUUUGGAAAAUUAAGACAUAUAUGUUUGGUAUAAUUGCUCCUAAAAAUAAUAUAUAUAUAUAUAAAAACUUGGUCUUUCUUACAUCAAGACUUGAUUGAAUAAUUAUUGACAACUAGAAGCCUAAUGCUUUUUUGAGGCAAAUUCUCUCUAUCCUGAUAAUAUAUAAUCUUGCAUCUCUUAGUUUUUGUAACACACAACGAACAUAAACUUCAUACUCUUCUAUAUUUUUAAAAUAAAUGAAAAUUUUAUCCAAAUAACAGACAAUAAAAUCAUCAAGAAUUUCACAAAAGACAUCAUUUAUUAGACAUUGGAAAGUAGUUGGUAUAUUUGUAAGUCCAAAAGGCAUGAAAUUAUAUUCAAAAUAUUUAUACCUAGUUUGGAAAGCAUUCUUCUAUUCAUUUCCUGAUUUGAUGUGGAUCAGAUUAUAUGCUCCUCAUAGAUCUAUUUUUGUAUAGAUCUUUGCUUCAUUUAGUUCAUCAAGGAAUCUUAAAAUGAAAGAUAGAGGAUACCUAUUCUUGAUGGUCAAGUAUGACUUUAGACCUUUUCUCUCAGUAAAGUUUAAUUUUGCAUCUUUUCAUUCAAUUCAAUUUUUUUAUAUUUUUGUUUGCUCAAUUUGUCUUUCAUGUCUUAUUCGUUUAGUUUCAUUCAGUUCUGUUCUAGUCUAUUUUGUCCUAUUUUGUAAUGAGGUUUUAUAUUGCUAUGGAAUAGAAAGAACUUGGAUUUUUGACAUAGUCUGGUCAACUUUCAAAUAUUUUUUUUGAAAGAAGUUACAAAGGCCUCAACAAUAAUCAAUUAAUAUAGUAGUCUUCCUACCUUAAAAUAAAACAUUAUUAAUGGUUGAAAGGACCUAUUAACCACCUUAAAAAGGAGCAAAGAUCAAAAUAUGUACCAAACACAAUUCUUUGUUUCUUAGACUUCUUCAACAUAUGAUGAUCUCACCUCAUAGAACUUGUCUCUAAAAAGAGAAAUAAAAUUAUAGACAUACAUAUUUAUUUAGAUAAUAAAUAUAAAUAAAUAUAAUAUUAUCUUAUGACAAAGCUUCUUAGAAGCUUCAUAUAUGCAUAUUUUACUUAAUAUAUGUUUAUAGUAGAUUGACACGUUAGAAAAUUUUUCAACAAAUUAGCCAUAUAUCACACAUAUUGAUAGCUCGUAGUAUAAACUAACAAUAUGGUACAUAUAUAGGAAACUUUUUUUGUAAGUUAAGAUACAUGUUUGGUAAAUUGAAUACGUACUAGAGAUUCUAUAAAAUGUUGUUAUGUAGCUUAUAAUUAGAUAGUAUAUAUAGAGGCAAGAAUAAAGUCUUUUUCAUUCUUAUCAAUGCCUUUUUAAUCCUUAGUCUUGUUUCAAGACUUUCUACUCUUCUUGUCUUUGACAAUAGUCAUUCUAAUUUAAUAUUAUAUCAUCUUUGAAUGGCUUUCUAAUAUUUAUGAGUGACAUAAGAAUAUAUUGAUCUUUUAAUUCAUGAGAUCCUGUCAUGGACAUAUUCAUAUAAGCUAGUAAUUACAUAUACAAAUAGGUGGAAGUAAGUAAAAGUAAGUUAAAGUAAGUUAAUUCUAUAGUAUUUAAUAUGGAAGCUUUUUAGAAGCUUCAUAGAUGCUGCUUUGACUUCAUAGGUGUCUUUAAUUGACUUUUUGGAUUAGAAACGUGGUCAACAAGUUGGCCAUGUGCCACACAUGUCCUUAGCUUGAAGAUCAAGCUAACUAUGUGGCCCACACGUAGAAAAAUUUGCCUUGUAAGUCAAGGCAUGUGUCCUACAAAGUCAACACAUAUUCGAGGUCCUAUAGAACGUCGCCACGUAGUCCAUACUUAGAUAGUAUAUAUAGAGACAAGAGUGAAGCCUUCUUCACUCUUGUCAAAUCCUUUCUUGCUUCUAGUCUAGUUUCAAGGGUCUCUAGUUUUCUUGUCUUUUGGCAAUAGCCAUUCCAAUUUUUCUUUCAAUAUACAUACUUGUUUAUUGUUAUUUUGUUACCUUUCUUCGAGUGAAGGCUCACUUGUCUGAAUUUCUUUUUAUCGAAUUCUUGUCCUUGACAGAUUGACAAGAGUACACCUAUAAUAUCAGAGCUUUGUCUAAUCUUGAUUAAAAGUGGGUUACCCCUUUUUUUUUAUAAGAUAUAAGCAUAUUAGAAGUUGCGGAUUAUCCUCUUCUAAACUGAUAUUGUCCUUAGUAAUUUCUUUGUUCUCAAGUCUUCUCUUCUAUUUGUCUUGAAUGAUAUUAGAUAUCUUUUCUUUUCUAAGUGUUAUCAUGGCAGAACUUAUUGAAAUAAAAAGUGUAAUGACAUAAAUACAAGAGUAAUUGAGAGAGUUAAUGCUAGCGAUGCAUCAACUCAAUUUACCAUCGUAAGGAGCAAUAAGAUUCACAGGAAGUGAAGAUAUAGAAAUGGUUGGAGCUGCUUCAAUAUCUACACCGAAUCAAGUCUUUUCUCCUAUGGUGGAACGCCCUUCCAGUGUUAGAGAACCAAGAAUUGCCCUACCCGAGAAGUUUGAUGGCACCAGAUCCAAAUUUCAAGGAUUUAUCAAUCAAGUGCAACUUUUGAUUGAACUUCAAUCCCAAAGCUAUCCAAUUCCAAGAUCGCAAGUUAGAUUCAUUAGUACGCUUCUUUCAAGUUCAGCACUAUCGUGGUUUUCAUCUUUUCUUGAACGAAGAGAUCUAAUAGUAGAUAAUCUAGAGGCUUUUCAGGUGGAGUUUCGAUCCAUGUAUGGAGAACAUGAUGUAAUUCGUGUUGCAACCAAUAAGAUCUGUAUUUUACAACAAGGCAAUCGAUCAGUAACGUUGUAUAUUUCACAAUUUUGAAAACUUGUAAUUGAUAUCAAGUGGGAUGAUGCUGUACUUAUUAGCCAAUUUCUCUACGGAUUAUAAUAUGAGGUAAAAAAAUUAAUGCUCAACUUAUUUGAUCUUCAAACAUUGAGUCAAGCAAUUGACUUUGCUGUGAAGUGAAACAAUCGACUUUUUGAAUUUCGAUCUAGAAACCGACCUCAACAUUGUCGGGGUAGAGAGGUUUUGCCUCAAGAAAGCGCUGCGCUUCUGGCUGUCACUAAUUGCUCAAUCAAGCUUAAAAUAAGGAAAUCCUAAUUUUAUAUAUAUAAGAUCUCCUUUUGGGACAAUUACACCAAAUACUUAAGUCUUAAAUAACCAACAACACCCAAAAUAUGGUAGAAGUACUCUAAAACCUUGUAUAUCCUUGUGUGGAAAUUCUCCCAAACCUCAACACCUCAUAACUCUUGAUCCAACCGUCCAAACAAGAUCAAAAUUUAUAUGAAGUACUGAUAUAUUGUUAUUAAUUUUUACAACAAAUUUCAACCGCAAAUUCGUCGCGGAUUUUGAUAUAUCUUCAAAACCCAAACAAUCGCUUCAAACCCUAAUCUUUAUAUACCUACGUGCAAUUUUCUUCAUAUCUCACAAAACAUAAGUCCAAAUGCCACGAAACUUAUAUAAAUAGCUUUUUAACACAAAUUUUUACAUUAUCCGAAAGUUUGAGCCAAAAUUUCGUUCGAAAACUCAAGUAAUGGCUCCUAACACUACUUUGAACAAAACCGCUCACUUACUGCCUUUGAUUUGAAUGCGCUGUCUUUAACUCCCUAUAACUCCUUCACAUAAACUCCAAAUGCAAAAUUUCCUUCACAAAAGAUAUAUGUCUUGAAGUUGCUCUUCUAGCCACACCUUUCGAUCUCCAAAAGCUUCCGUAAGACUCCUCUUAAACUCAAAAGAGUAACAGUAGGUCUCAAAUUGACACCUUAACUUCAAACGGCUAUAACUUAUUCACCCUAACUCCAAACCCUAUAAAAUUUGCACAAAAAUUGUAGCCAAAAUCCUAAACUUUACAACCCUUGCCUCUGAUUUCCUAAUGGCCUCUUUGAAGUCGCCGAAACCCUUAUCAAGGUCGCGGGCAGCCUCCUAAAAGCCCAUUGGGCAUGGAUUUCGACCAAUGGAGAUGAAGAUCCUUAUUUCUACCAUCAUCCAACCAUGCCUUGGUUUCAUCCCUCCCAAUUAACCUCCUAUUAGUUUAAAUCUUCAUCUUUAGGCCCCUAUCUCCUCUCAAGGCUUCAUACUUAACAUUAAGGUUCUAUAACUUUUAUAUACUAUAAUCAAACUAAGGAAAACAAAAUAAAGUUUUUUCAUACCAACUCUUUUUAAUUUAAUCUAUUAUCCACUCUAACAUACAUUUAGAUUUAUUAACAUUUAUUGUGUUCUAACUAAUUUUUACAUACUAUAAGCAUUUACACUACGACAUCCACUCCCUCCAAACUUGCACAUCCUCCGGUAUGUGCCACGUCUUACUCCUCUCCUUCUUCUUGAAAGUGCUCCAAAUCAUUCAUAGGUUCUCUUCCUUUACAUUCUUGAUCCAAAUAUUGAGGUAGAAAUUCUUCAAGGUCUUCUAUUUUGAACUGCCCAUCUCUUCUUUUAAAAGCCUUUAUCCUCUUUUCAGCUAUUGGAAUUCUAAUGAUAGCUCCAUCUAACUCCAGUAAGGUGUAUGUGGCAUUAUCAUGGACUGUGACUACCACAUAUGAUCCAAACCAUUUUUUUGCAAAUUUCUUUACGGUGCUAUGUUCAUGUUCAAGGCUAUUAUCAUAAACUAAAACCCAGUCUCCAGAUUCUAUAGGCUUAGGCCUUAAUCUAUGAGUCCUAUGAAAUUUUUUUUUUUUUUUUUUUUUUUUUUUUUUUAACCUUAAUUUUUUUAACCUCUCUAUUGCAAUCUGCAAGUCUUCAGGUAACCUUCUCAAUUGUUGGAUUCGAAGUUCUAACAAUCUUUUCCUAUCAAUGUUAUCUUUUCAAGAUAGAAACAUCCAUGUAGGAUAUGUUCUUUCAGCUGGCAUCAUAGGUUUUUGUCCUAACAUUAAUUCCAUGGGCAUAUAACGAGUGACAGUACUAUGAGUAGUCCUAUCAGCCCAUAAAGCAAAUGGAAGUAAUUUAGGCCAUUGAAUUGACUUACCCUUACAUGCCUUGACCAAUGCAUAAAUAAUAGGAGGAUGACCUCUUUCACUCUUGCCAUUGGCUUCAGGAUUAUAAAAAGUAGUCAAUUUCAAAUGAACUCCAUACCUGUUGAAGAAUUCUCUUGCUUUAACAGCAUCCAACUUCCCCCUGUCAGCUCUCAUCCUUCCAAUGCUUCCAUAUCUGCUGAAGAUAUCUUCCAGUAUAAACCUACAUACCGCUUUUGUGACCUUGGUUCUCAAAGCCCUUCCUUCAACAUAAUUUGAUAACUCCUCUCUUGCCAAAAUAAAAUAUUUCAUACCCCAAAGUCCUAAUGGCAUAGCUACCAAAUCAAUCACCCAUUAAAAAUGUAUAGAAGAUGGAUAAGUAGGAUGUAAUCCAUCUCUAUAUCUAACCUUAGAUUGUAGUUGACACUCUGUACAUGAACUUACAAAGUCUUCUACAUCUUUGUAUAGACCCUUCCACCAAUACCUUUCCUUGAUCUUGGUAUAUGUAGCCCAAAAUCCCCUGUAUCCUAUCCAAAGUGUAUCAUGAUAUUCUUUCAAAACUUGAAUUUUAGUUUCAAGAUCUCCUAUUACCUUUAAUGGAAAUUUAUCACCUCUUUUUGGCCUCUUUCAUAAGAAUCUAUCUUUAAGUAGAUAACCAUAGGAUUGAUGUCUAAUAUCUUUGAAGGUCUUAUCCAUCCAUCCUUCUUGCUUCUUUAUUGUGCUCAAGUAAAUUCCAAUAUCCCUCAAUUUGCCUUCAUACAAAUCCUUAUGGAAAAUUUCAGCCUCAUCAUUAAAAUCCAUUCCACCUGUAGAAAAUAAAUUUCCAUAGCUCUUGUCUUCUUGAUCUUCACUCCUUUCAUGAGACACCAUUUCUUCUUCAAAGGUAUAUCUGGCUUUAGACAAUAUGUCUGCCACUAAGUUUUCUUUACCACUAAUAUGUAUUAAAACAGGAUUCAAUGUUCUUACAUAUGCUAUUCAUCUUAGCAUAGCAAUAUCUGGAGUAGUGCAGUUAAUUAUCAUUCCAAGUAAAGAUAAACAAUCUGUUUUUAAAACCACACUUGCUCCAAUCAAAUAAUUCCUUUUAGCCUUUAGAGCAGUGAGUGCUCUCCAAAGCUGUCUUUUAACUUGUGGAUAAGCCCUUUGUCUCUUUGUAAGAAUUCUAGCUCCAAAUCUUAUAGCAAAUCUUCUCCCUUCCAUAUCAUCUUGUCCAAUUGCCCAUCCAAUUGCUAUAGGACUUGUAUCCACUGUUACAAUCACUGGUCUUCUACAUUGAUAAUCUACUUGUCUAAGCACAUGUGGUGAACUCAACAUCUUCUUUAGAUUUUCCAUAUCUAUUUCUUGUUCUUUUUCCCAAAUAAAUCUCUUACCUUUCCUCAAUAACUUAUAUAGUGGUUCUGAGAUAUGAGCAAAGUGAUGCACCCAAAUGUGAUAGAAUAUACACGCCCCUAAAAACCUUUUGACUUCUGUAACACUUUAACAAGCCUGCAUUCUAGAUAUAGCAUCAACCUUAUCAGGGUUUGGUUUUCUACCAUACUUGCUACACAUGUGUCCCACGACUAGAAUUUCAUCAACUCCAAAGCUUGAUUUCUCCAAAGAUAAUGUCAAAUUAACUGAUUUCAAUCUCUCCAAUAUUUUAGCCACAUCUUCAAUAUGCAUCUUGACAAAAUUUCUGCAAUCUUCAACCUCCAUGGUCUCAUCCUUAUCUUCCUUCCUAUCUCCCUUAAUAGGUCUAUCAUCCAAAAAUGGGAUGUUCUUCUCAAGUACAAAGUCUUUUAAUAUUUGAUUCAUAGCAUUUUACAUAUGAGCCACUGAGUUGGUUGCACCUUGAGGUAAAGUAUACAUCCUUAUUAAACCCAAAGGAGUCUUCAUGGUGGUUAAAUCUCUACUCUCUUUAGCCAAUUGAAAUUGGUCAUACCCGGAAUAUAAGUCUCCAAUAGAAUGGAUGGCAUGACUUGCAAAUUGCUCAGCCACUUUAUCUACUAAAGGUCCUGAUCCCAUGUUUUGAAUAAUCACUUUGUUUGCACGUUGCAUAUCCUGAAUGAACUUCAAUGUCCCUGACUUCUUAGGUAUUGUAAACCAUCUAUUAGAGUAGGAAGCAAUUGAAGGUUCUAAAAUUCCCAUCUUCACUUUUUCCUUCAAUAAUUCUAUCCAUUUUGGAAGUAAAGCUCUAGGCACAUGUAUAGGUUUUAAAUUCCAUGGAAUAUGUGGUACCGUAAAGAUUACCAUAGGUACUAUAAAAUUAGGAUCUACACAUCCAAUCUCAUCAGGAUUUAAGGCAAAUGCCUUACUAUAUUCAAUAAGCAUUUCUUGAAAAAAAUUCCUCUCUAUUGAUGUCAAGAAAUCACCCCCUCCAAUCUUCAGCUUAAAUAAUGAUUCUUGAGUAAAUUGAUGUCCAAUUUUGCGCCUUUUCCUUAAACUUGGCUCUAUAAUUACUUGUUUGAUAUGCUCCAUAGUAUCCACUGGUAACUGGGUAGCUACAGGUUUAAUCUUUUUAGCUACAGUUUUAUAUUUAGUUUGUACUCUAGCCUCUAAUUUCAACCCAUAGCUUAUAGCGAGUCCACCAUUUGCUACUAUCUUUUCUAACUCCUUAUAAGUUCCCCUUGAGUGUAACUCUAUAAUAGCAUCUCCAUCCAUGCUUACAGCCAAAUCUUCCAAAACCUCUAUCAAAUCCUCUUCAAAACCUACUUCUUCUAUCAUUCCAACUAUGGCUUCAUCACUUGAAAUUAAACCCAUUCUUUUUAAGUUUUUCUCUUAUUUCUUCACCCUUCUUUUAUUUACAAAACCCAAAUCUUGGAUCUUUUGAACACUCACAAAUCCAUUACUAGUCAAGUUUAAAAAUCCAAAACUCAUAUUAUCUACACUGAGAUUUAUAGAUGAUUCAUUUGCACCCAUCUAUCCCCAUCCUACAGAGGUACUCUCUAGAAAUCCACAAAAUUGUUUCCUGACUCCAAAGGCAUCCCUCUUAAUUGCUCCCUGUGCCUCUCAUGAAUAGGUUUCACAGUAAUAAAUUGCACAGCUUUUUUUCCAUCCCAACUACGAAUCCUGGCAUAAUGUGAACCAUCAUCCAAGACUCUAGUCUCCAUUCUAGGAGCAGUAAUAUAGGGCUGACCAAGUAUUACUAGAUAUGUAGCAGAAUUUUGUACGAAGAAAUUUUGUUCAACCUCCAUAUCUCCAAUCUUGGUCUUUAUAGCUGGACAAGCUCCAUAUAAAUCAUCUUGUUGAUUAUUUGUUGUUCUAAUUACCCAACCAUGGUUGAUGUCAAUUGGCCAUUUAUUCUUCUGAUAUAUUCACCCUGACAUAAUAUUGAUUUCAGAUCCAUGAUCAACUAAGGCCAAAGUUAGAUCUUGAGAAUCUCCCAGUCUCACAUAUGCCUCUGUAGUAGCUCUAGCCCAAUAAGGAACUGAAUAGCUACUAUUUCCCAUUCCAUCAUUUUCACAUUUAGAAUAAGUGUUUACACAUGCUUCUUAUACAAUCUCUUUUUUCACAGUAGAUUCCUCAGAUGUGUAUUCCACUUGAUGCUCUUUUAUAACCCCAACUUGUUUAAGUGAAUCCUUGUCUUCCAUAUCAAUCUUACUUCCAACUUUUGGCAUUGCAAAUUGUGCAAAUACCUGCCCUAUCUCUUCUUCUUCAUCCAAAGUUACUAGAGUGUCCAAUGCUUCCACCAUAAUAGCUUUAGUUGUCAUCUGCCUCUUUUUCUUUAUGACAUUAAUAAUCUGAUCAUAGAAAUCCCUCUUGGCAAUACUAAGAGCCUCUCUUAGAGUAAAUUCAAUCUUUGCAUCUAAGAUCUUUUCUUCUAAAAUACUCUUCAUAUUUGUUGAUGACUCUAUAUCAGAUUGAAGCUUAUAGAUAGGAAUUUUACCUUUAGCUUUGUUAGAAUCAUCCUUCUCCUUCAUUUUGUCUUUCUCCCACUACUCUUUUGGUAAUGGUGUGUCUCUAGGACGAGUAGAAGAAGGCACCUUCUCAAGAUUUUGUUCCUCUUGAGCUUCUUUAUUUCUUGGAGACCUCCUCUUGCUUGCUGACUCACCAACAUCUUCUUCAUGAAUAGCUCUACCUCUUUUCUCUUCAACUAUAGCAUCAUGCAAAUCAUCAUCAUGUUUGUCUUUACACAAAAAAGCUUUAAUGCUAAUGAUAUCAACUGGAUCAUUUCAUCUAGUUAUCUUUCUGAUAGCUUCACCUCCCCUGAUCAUGGCUUUAGUGCUUGGUGAAGAAUUAGCCUUAAUUGCCUUUUAUUCAACCGUAAUAGAAUAAGCUUCAACUUCUUUUCCUUUUAUGGCAUUACUCUUUGAUGUUUGAUCUUUUACCAAUUUUUUCUACAUACAUCUCUCCACAAAUCCUUUUGACCCUUCAACUACCCUUGAUGAGCUUAUCAUUUGGGAUUUCUUCAAUUCAGUCAUUUCCACCUUCAAAUCCCAUAUGUCCUUGAUUAAUUCUUCAAAAGUGUCAUUCUUCACAGCCUUUAUUCUUUUUUGGGGUGGCUCUAGAUUUGAGAUGCAGGCACUGGUUCCAACCUUGAUAUUAUACCAUGAGCCUUAAUCUUCUGUUGUUUAGCCAAAAGUCCCACUGUCUCUUUUACUAGCUUCCAAUUAUUUUUAAAACCACUUUGAGAUGUCUUGUCUGCUAAGUAAAAGAGUAACUUAUCUUCCAGGUGUUCAUCAGCUGCUUGCAAGAAUAAUCCAAUUUUCUUUGUUUCCAAUAGCUGCCUCUCUUGCCGUGGCAAUUGACCAAACUUUGUUUCAAAAUCCUUGAUUAAUUUAUUUAAAGCCAUUUGAUUCCUAGGCCGUUGCUCAAUCCACUCAAAAAAAGUCACCUUGGUCAUUCUUUCUGAAUCCUACUCAAAAAAUUCUUCUUUCAAUAGUUCUUCAAAUUUCUUCCAUGACAUAGCCUCUGCAUGCAACUCUUGCACUCUCUCUCUUAUUUCUGGUAUCACUGCCAAAUCAAAGGUAGUAAUCAUCUUCAUUUCUGGAACUUGAUGCACCUCCAUUUCACAUAUGUAAAUCCUUAAGAACUUGGUAAUAUUCCUUCCAUCAAACCUCCCAAUCUUGUCUACCACAACUUGAAAGGCCUUAGUGGUGCUCCUAUCUUCUCCAUGCACCUGUUGCCUUUCCUCCAUAAAUUCAGUAAAUGCCCUGAAUAAAUCAUAGGCACCUACACCUCCUGGUAAUCCAAACCUUAGAUUUUCAUCCCCCUUUUUAACUUAUUGAGGAAAUUAGUGCCUUAAAACUCUCUCAGUGGAAGCACCAAGAUGUCGGGGUAGAGAGGUUUUGCCUCAAGAAAGCGCUGCGCUUCUGGCUGUCACUAAUUGCUCAAUCAAGCUUAAAAUAAGGAAACCCUAAUUUUAUAUAUAUAAGAUCUCCUUUUGGGACAACUACACCAAAUACUUAAGUCUUAAAUAACCAACAACACCCAAAAUAUGGUAGAAGUACUCUAAAACCUUGUAUAUCCUUGUGUGGAAAUUCUCCCAAACCUCAACACCUCAUAACUCUUGAUCCAACCGUCCAAACAAGAUCAAAAUUUAUAUGAAGUACUGAUAUAUUGUUAUUAAUUUUUACAACAAAUUUCAACCGCAAAUUCGUCGCGGAUUUUGAUAUAUCUUCAAAACCCAAACAAUCGCUUCAAACCCUAAUCUUUAUAUACCUACGUGCAAUUUUCUUCAUAUCUCACAAAACAUAAGUCCAAAUGCCACGAAACUUAUAUAAAUAGCUUUUUAACACAAAUUUUUACAUUAUCCGAAAGUUUGAGCCAAAAUUUCGUUCGAAAACUCAAGUAAUGGCUCCUAACACUACUUUGAACAAAACCGCUCACUUACUGCCUUUGAUUUGAAUGCGCUGUCUUUAACUCCCUAUAACUCCUUCACAUAAACUCCAAAUGCAAAAUUUCCUUCACAAAAGAUAUAUGUCUUGAAGUUGCUCUUCUAGCCACACCUUUCGAUCUCCAAAAGCUUCCGUAAGACUCCUCUUAAACUCAAAAGAGUAACAGUAGGUCUCAAAUUGACACCUUAACUUCAAACGGCUAUAACUUAUUCACCCUAACUCCAAACCCUAUAAAAUUUGCACAAAAAUUGUAGCCAAAAUCCUAAACUUUACAACCCUUGCCUCUGAUUUCCUAAUGGCCUCUUUGAAGUCGCCGAAACCCUUAUCAAGGUCGCGGGCAGCCUCCUAAAAGCCCAUUGGGCAUGGAUUUCGACCAAUGGAGAUGAAGAUCCUUAUUUCUACCAUCAUCCAACCAUGCCUUGGUUUCAUCCCUCCCAAUUAACCUCCUAUUAGUUUAAAUCUUCAUCUUUAGGCCCCUAUCUCCUCUCAAGGCUUCAUACUUAACAUUAAGGUUCUAUAACUUUUAUAUACUAUAAUCAAACUAAGGAAAACAAAAUAAAGUUUUUUCAUACCAACUCUUUUUAAUUUAAUCUAUUAUCCACUCUAACAUACAUUUAGAUUUAUUAAAAUUUAUUGUGUUUUAACUAAUUUUUACAUACUAUAAGCAUUUACACUACGGCAAUGUUACUAUAAUUCAAUGGCAACACUAACACCUCUUCAACACAUACACUCUCCUUCUUCUUGAAAGUGCUCCAAAUCAUUCAUAGGUUCUCUUCCUUUUCAUUCUUGAUCCAAAUAUUGAGGUAGAAUUCUUCAAGGUCUUCUANNNNNNNNNNNNNNNNNNNNNNNNNNNNNNNNNNNNNNNNNNNNNNNNNNNNNNNNNNNNNNNNNNNNNNNNNNNNNNNNNNNNNNNNNNNNNNNNNNNNCAUUAUCAUGGACUGUGACUACCACAUAUGAUCCAAACCAUUUUUUUGCAAAUUUCUUUACGGUGCUAUGUUCAUGUUCAAGGCUAUUAUCAUAAACUAAAACCCAGUCUCCAGAUUCUAUAGGCUUAGGCCUUAAUCUAUGAGUCCUAUGAAAUUUUUUUUUUUUUUUGGUUUUUUUUUUUUUUUAACCUUAAUUUUUUUAACCUCUCUAUUGCAAUCUGCAAGUCUUCAGGUAACCUUCUCAAUUGUUGGAUUCGAAGUUCUAACAAUCUUUUCCUAUCAAUGGUUAUCUUUUCAAGAUAGAAACAUCCAUGUAGGAUAUGUUCUUUCAGCUGGCAUCAUAGGUUUUUGUCCUAACAUUAAUUCCAUGGGCAUAUAACGAGUGACAGUACUAUGAGUAGUCCUAUCAGCCCAUAAAGCAAAUGGAAGUAAUUUAGGCCAUUGAAUUGGACUUACCCUUACAUGCCUUGACCAAUGCAUAAAUAAUAGGAGGAUGACCUCUUUCACUCUUGCCAUUGGCUUCAGGAUUAUGGAAAGUAGUCAAUUUCAAAUGAACUCCAUACCUGCUGAAGAAUUCUCUUGCUUUAACAGCAUCCAACUUCCCCCUGUCAGCUCUCAUCCUUCCAAUGCUUCCAUAUCUGCUGAAGAUAUCUUCCAGUAUAAACCUACAUACCGCUUUUGUGACCUUGGUUCUCAAAGCCCUUCCUUCAACAUAAUUUGAUAACUCCUCUCUUGCCAAAAUAAAAUAUUUCAUACCCCAAAGUCCUAAUGGCAUAGCUACCAAAUCAAUCACCCAUUAAAAAUGUAUAGAAGAUGGAUAAGUAGGAUGUAAUCCAUCUCUAUAUCUAACCUUAGAUUGUAGUUGACACUCUGUACAUGAACUUACAAAGUCUUCUACAUCUUUGUAUAGACCCUUCCACCAAUACCUUUCCUUGAUCUUGGUAUAUGUAGCCCAAAAUCCCCUGUAUCCUAUCCAAAGUGUAUCAUGAUAUUCUUUCAAAACUUGAAUUUUAGUUUCAAGAUCUCCUAUUACCUUUAAUGGAAAUUUAUCACCUCUUUUUGGCCUCUUUCAUAAGAAUCUAUCUUUAAGUAGAUAACCAUAGGAUUGAUGUCUAAUAUCUUUGAAGGUCUUAUCCAUCCAUCCUUCUUGCUUCUUUAUUGUGCUCAAGUAAAUUCCAAUAUCCCUCAAUUUGCCUUCAUACAAAUCCUUAUGGAAAAUUUCAGCCUCAUCAUUAAAAUCCAUUCCACCUGUAGAAAAUAAAUUUCCAUAGCUCUUGUCUUCUUGAUCUUCACUCCUUUCAUGAGACACCAUUUCUUCUUCAAAGGUAUAUCUGGCUUUAGACAAUAUGUCUGCCACUAAGUUUUCUUUACCACUAAUAUGUAUUAAAACAGGAUUCAAUGUUCUUACAUAUGCUAUUCAUCUUAGCAUAGCAAUAUCUGGAGUAGUGCAGUUAAUUAUCAUUCCAAGUAAAGAUAAACAAUCUGUUUUUAAAACCACACUUGCUCCAAUCAAAUAAUUCCUUUUAGCCUUUAGAGCAGUGAGUGCUCUCCAAAGCUGUCUUUUAACUUGUGGAUAAGCCCUUUGUCUCUUUGUAAGAAUUCUAGCUCCAAAUCUUAUAGCAAAUCUUCUCCCUUCCAUAUCAUCUUGUCCAAUUGCCCAUCCAAUUGCUAUAGGACUUGUAUCCACUGUUACAAUCACUGGUCUUCUACAUUGAUAAUCUACUUGUCUAAGCACAUGUGGUGACUCAACAUCUUCUUUAGAUUUUCCAUAUCUAUUUCUUGUUCUUUUUCCCAAAUAAAUCUCUUAGGACAGCCCUCCGGCUGUUGGUAGUCAGGCCACGCUGCGCUCCGUGUUAACAAAACCUUUUUUCUNNNNNNNNNNNNNNNNNNNNNNNNNNNNNNNNNNNNNNNNNNNNNNNNNNNNNNNNNNNNNNNNNNNNNNNNNNNNNNNNNNNNNNNNNNNNNNNNNNNNAUUAUGGCAUCAAUAUUAUAUUAUCUUAAAUUUUUUAAGGCAUUUCUUAUAGAAACAAAUAAAUUGAACUUUACUCUAGAUAAAGUAUUGUUACAAAUGGAAGCAAAUGAUAAACUUUAUUUUUUAGUUUUUUAUUUUCUAUUUUUUAAUAUCCAAGAUUAAUUAAGAAAUCAACAAUAAGAUUUUUUUUGUGAUUAUAGAUUCAUUACAAUAAUAGUAUCAUUACUUGAAUGGCUUUUUUAGCAUAAUGAUUUUUUAUACAAAGUAAAGAACUUUACUUAUUUUAUAUCUGCAUAUUUUUGAAUUAUUGUCAAGUUUAUUAGAUAAUUUAUUUUUUAAUAUUUGUGUUCAAAAUCAAAUAUAUAUAUAUAUAUAUAUAUAUAUAUACAUAAAUACAUAUAUAAUGUUUAAUCAACAAAAAAUAAUUAUUUUGAAGCUAGAGCAAUUUCAUCUUUGAAAAAAUGAAAUCAAUAUUUAUAGUUGAUUUAACAUUUUUUUAUUAAGUUGAAUCAAGUAUGUCCUUAAAUCCUCUUGUUUAUGAUAUUAAGUAUAUAUUUUUUAAAAAAACUUAAGAUACUUCUAAGUUUGAAUUUAAAAACAAUCUUUUCUAUUUUAAGGAACAUUAAUAUAUUUUAGAAGAUGAAGUACAAUUACGUAAUUUUCAAGCUCAUCUAAAUUUUCUUGAUACAAAAUAUUUUCAAUACAAUUAGACUAUUAAAUUUAUCUCAUAAUGUUUUUGGUGGUUUCAAAUGUAAAAUGUAGUUAAAAACUUUGUACAAUCAUGAGAUGUUUGUUCAAGAUGAGAAACUCCUUAUCAUUAAUAUUAUAGACUUUUCCAACCACCACCUACUUUAAAAAAACCAUGAUUGUUUGUUUUGAUGGAUUUUAUUAAAGAUCGUUCAAUCUUAAGCUCUUUUGAUUCCACAUUUUGAUAGUAGAUUGAUUCACUAAGAUGGUAUAUUUUGUACUAUAUACAAAAACUAUAAUAAGUGAUAAAACUACUAGACUCUUUUAAAAAUAUUUGUUACUAUCAUAAAUUACCAAAAAAUAUUAUAUGAGAUUAAGAGAUUUAAUUUUUAUUUAGAUUUUGGAAUUUUUUUAAAGUAUUAAAGAUAGAUGCAAAAGUAUCUUUGAUCUUCCAUCUUUAAAAAAUUGGACAAAUAAAAUACAUGAAUCAAGUAUUAGAGUAAUAUAUGAAAUAUAUAAUCAAUUACUAUCAAGGUGAUUUGACAAUUCUUUUGCCAUAUGUAGAGUUUCUUUUUAUAAUAAUAUAAUAUUUUUUAAAAUUUAAUAAUAAAAAAUUUAUAUUAAUUAUGAUUAUCAUUCUUUUGACUUUGUAAAGGUUGAUAAUUCUCUAACAAAAGAUUUUACAAAGCUACAUAGGACAAUGAAGGUUUAAUAAAUUGAACCUCAAGAAUAAUAAAAGAUCAACAUAUGUAUCUAUUGCAAGUAACAAUUUUAAUACUAAGUUGGCAAUAAAGUAUAAUUAUUUUGUUGUAAUAUUAAGACUAUUUAUUCUUAUAAUAAGUUGUUCAUAAUAAACUUAGAUAAUUUUUUAUUUAUAAAUAGAUCAAUUCAUUGCAUAUUAAUUUUAUUCCUACCAAAGUCUAUAAAGAUCUAUCUUUUAUUUCAUGUUUCUCUUUUUAAGCCAUAUAAGAGAGUAGAUGUAUUAAGAAAGAGACAUAUGUCACUUCAUCUUAUGAAAGUGGAUAAUAAUUAAGAAUUUAAAGUAGAAGAUAUCUUGAAUUCAACACAAUGCCAAAAUAGUUGAAAAUAUCUUAUUCAUUGGUACAAAUAUGAUAUUAGUAAAUGCAUAUAGAAGCCAUCUAAGAAUCUUGUAGAUGUAUAUAGAAGUUUGAUACUUUUUGUUUGUCACAUCUAUCAUAAUUAAGAUAAAAAGGCAAAAACGACUUUUGUUAUAAAGUAAAUAUAUUUAACAAACAUUGCAUUUUAUCUUCUAUCAUUAUAAAUGGUUUUUAUGCAUAUGUGGCAUUGAAGUGAUGGAAGAUUAAUAACUAACAAAUCCACUCGAGACCUAUUAUUUAUUGAAUUAAAAGACAAUGCAUUACAAUUAUCUUAACCUUUAAGAUAUUGUAUUACAAGUGAAGAUCUUCAAAAAUGACAUGUUUUUCUUUGAAUAGAUAGCAAGAUAUAAUACAUUUGAUAUUAUAACAUUGCAAGAGAAUUUUAAUGUUUAGUAAUAUUGUUAGAAGUGAAAACCAAUCACAAGAAUAUUUUUAAUGUUUUACUUAAAGAAAGUAAUAAAAACCUCAAUAAUGAUUAAAUAAAAAAGUAUUUAUUCUUUUCCUAACAUAAGAUACUACCAAUGGUUGAGAGAGCUUAUUAACUAUCUAAUAAAACAAAGAUCAAAGUAUAUAGUUAAUACAAUUUUCUACAUCUUAGAUUUCUUCAACAUGCAAUGACAUCUCCUUGUGGAAUUCAUCCUUUCAAGAAGACAUAAUAUCACAAAUAUUAACAUUUUUAUUAGUAAUUAAAAAAAUAAGAAGAAUUAGAUAGAAAAAAAAGUAAUUAAAUUUAUAAAUAUCUUAUAAAAAAAACUUCUUAGAAGUAUUAUAGACGUGGAUUUUAUUCUAUAAGUAGUUCUAGGCAAUUGGUAGGUUAAAAAUUUAGUCAAUAAGUUAGCUACAUUUUCACAUGUUAGCCACUUAUAUUAUAAGUUGACUAUUUGGCCUACAUAUAAGAAACUUGUCUUGCAAGUUGGAUAUAUGACUUGUAAGUAGGAUACAAAUCAAAUAAUUAAUAGAUUUUUUUUGCAUGCCUAUUAGAUUAGAAGAAUAAAGAAAGAUACAUGAAUGAGGCUUUUUUUAUUUUUGUCAAUUCUUUUCUUGGAUUCUAGUUUUUUCUUAAGAAUAUCUAGUUUUUUUGUAAUUGGAAAAAACCAUUCUACUUUCUAAUUUAUAUUUAUCUUUGAAUUACCUAUAUUUAUUUUAAAAUGUAACAAGAGUAUAUUGCUCCUUUAAAAAAUAUAUAUAUACAUAUUCUUAAUAAUUUAUUAAGUUUAUUUAUUUAAAAUAUAAUACUUUAUUUUAAAAAUUCUAAGAAAAAUAUUUAAAAAUAUUUAAAUUUCAUAUAUACAUAUAUAUAUAUAUAUGUGAAUUAAUAAAAUAAAAUUAUUUUUAUUUAAAUAAAUAAAUAUAUAUAUUUAAUAUUAUUUAGAUGUUUUAAUUAUAGAUAUAGAAUGAACAUGAAUGAUUAUGAUUUAGAAGCUACUAAAUAUAAGAUAGUAGAUUUAUUUAGGUUGUGAAUUGUAAAAACUCAUUUUCAUAUAGUUAAAAAUAAUUUUAAUUUUUAAUUUUGUAAAAAUUUUAUUAUUAAAAUUUUUGAAUUUAAUUGUAUAGCUAUCAAUCUUUUAUUAAAUUAAAUUAUUCAAAAAUACCAAAAAAUUUUAAUAUUUAAAAAUAUCUAUUUCAUAAAUUAAAGUUAAAUAUUAAAUAAUUAAUUUUUUAAAUAUUAAUAUACUUAUAAUUAAAAAUUAGAGAGAGGUUUUUAAUAUUUUGAGAGUAAAGAUUGUUAUGAUGAUAUCUUGCUAAAUUAUAAUUUUUAAUAUAUAUAUAUAUAUAUAUAUAUAUAUAUAUAUAUACAUAUAAAUUAUAUUAAAAAUUAUAAAGAAAAAUAAAAAAUUUCACUCAAUAAUUAUUCAUAUAUAUAUAUAUAUAUAUAUAUAUAUAAUUUAAUAAUUAAAUUAUUAAAAUAAAAUAAAAUAAAUAUUUUAAAAUAUCAAUGCAAUGAAUUUGAUAUUUAUUUUAUUAUAUUAUUUAAAUAAAAAUAUUAAAUUAUUAUAUAUUUAUUAUUACAUAUUAUAAAUAUUAAAUUAAUUAUAUUUAAAUAUAAAUAUUAAAUUGAUACAAACAAUUGUUACAUUUAUCCAUCCAUCCUAUCCAUCAUAAUAUUGUGUAUCCCUUGUUAUUAUUUUUAGUCCUUGUCUUUGGUCUUGAUCCCUAUUUCCCUCCUCUCUUCAUCCUUCUAUCAUUUUUUAUAUUGUGUACCAUGGUUCUCUGGUUUAUUGGAAGGGACAAACCCCUUGCACAAAAGCCACACACCCUGGUCUUUAAUGCAAUUUAUAUUUCAGUUAUUGUCUCCAUUAUGCUUCUCUUUUGGCCUUCUUUGUAUCUUGUGAUAUUUUCAUGUUUUUUGAGGAUUCUUCUUUAGAUAUAAUUUAUUUCUUUUUCAUGCAUGUCUUAUUAAAAUGUUUAUAUAUUUCUAACAUGUAUGUCUUUUUUAGUUGCAAUUGUAUAUAUGAACAAAAUCACAUGCAUUUAGUAUAAAGAAGUACAUUUAUUUGUAUUUAUAUACACAUUUAAAUGAUUUUAUAACAAAAAGAAUUUAAAAAAAUAAUAAUAAAAAUGGUGGAGGUUGAGACAAUUCAAAACAGCCAUCUAUAAUUAAGAAAGCAAUGUUAAGAAUUUUUAGGUCAUAGACUUGAUAAUAUCCUAGUGGAAUCUAGCAUAUCAAUAAAUAAAUAUAUAUAUAUAUAUAUAUAUAGUGUCCUAUUAAUAUAAGUUUUAAAAAAUCUUAUAAAAGAGUGUUAUUAGUAAUAUGGUUACUUAUGUCUAUGUUGGUUGAUGUAUAUAUAAUCAAUCAAUCAAUCAAUCAAAAAUAUAUUUAUUAAAAAAUAGAUAAGUCAAUAUUGAUAAUAUCAAUUAAAAAUGUAUAAUGGUAAUAAGAAUAAAUACACAUAUGACAUUGUAAACUUACAAAAACCUGAUAAUUUCAAAGAAUUAUUUUCAUACUUAAUGACAAAAAUCACCUCUAAAUAUUACUAAAUUUUUAAACACUCUUUGUUGUAUGAUUAAAAAUACUAAAGAUUUUAUUUCGAAUUAGUAUUGUUAUAAUUUAUUUUAUUAGUAAUAAUUUAUAAUAUUUUUACUUUUAAAUUUAUUCAAAAAAAUAUUUUAUAAAUAGAAUAGUAAGAAUUUACUUUUUGUAUUACCUAAACAAUACCAAAAAAUUUUACUUCACUAUAGUUAGCACUUCUGACUAACCAAUAAUAAAAAAUACUUUAUGUAAUUAUUUAAAAAAUCAAUUUUUUUUUACUUUCAUUCAUUACAAAAAGGUUUGAAAUUGUAGGGUGGAUUUUUUAUUCUUUUUAUAUCUUGUACACAAAUGGGAAGCAAAAUUAAGAUAGGAGACAAAAGCUACAAAUGAAAACACGUGCUACAAAUGGGAACAAGGGAUGGAUAUUGAGAACAAAAAUACGAGACAGUGUUGUGUUGUGACACAUCUAAUUGAUAAAAGAGAGUAAUAAACAAACAAAAUAAGCAAACAAACAAACAAACAUUAUAGACGAUUAUAUGUCAAAAUCAUUAAAUUUGUUUACAACAACUAUGCAAAUUUUGAAAGCAUUGGAAUCCAAUUAAACAUUGGAAUCAAGAGAUUGGCACUAAAAAAUCAACAUCAUGGUUGAAAACAGAGGCCUGUUGACACCAAAGCAAAAUAUGAGGUGACCCCCCUAUUUGAUAAGUUAGAUCCCUUAAUAAUUUAUGGUACUUGUUUAUAGGCCUGUUGACACCAAAGCAAAAUAUGAGGUGACCCCCCUAUUUGAUAAGUUAGAUCCCUUAAUAAUUUAUAGUACUUGUUUUCAACUAAGAGAUUGAAAGAUGUGCAAAUUUUGAAUCAAGAAAAAUAAUUAAAUUAUUACUUAUUUAUGUUUUGAAUUUGUUAUAGGAACUUAUUAAGAAUUAGAUAAGAUCACUUCAGAUUUAUUUAGGAUUUGAUUAGGAUUUAGAGAUUAAAAUUUGAUUAGGUUUUGAUAACAAAAUUUUAAAAAUUUUAAUAAGAUAUAGUUAAGGUUUGAUAAGAAUUUGACUAAAAUAUAAUAGGAAUUUAAUUAGAACUUCUUUAGAAUUUCAUUAAGAUUUAGUUGAGGUUUAAAAUUAUAGAUUUUAUAGAUUUUAUUUGAAACUAAUUAUAAUAUAAUAAGGUAUUUAACAUGAUUUUAAAGUUAAAAAACUUGAAAUUCAACGUUUGAGUUUUAAUCCAAAUGUUAAUAUAUUACAUACUUUAAACUAUGAAUCUAAAUUUAUUUCAUUUAUUUAUUUAUUUAUUAUUAUUAUUAUUAUUAUUAUUAUUAUUAUUUUUGAUAUUUUAAAUAUAUAUAUAUCUAAAAUUAGUUAUAAAAAAUUAAUAUAUAUAUAUAAGAAAUGAAUAAAAUAAAACUUUAUGUGUUUUUUAUUCCUUAUGUCAAAUUUAUUAUUAUUUUAUAAAAAAAUUACUAAAAAUAUUUUAAAAAAUAAUAUUACAUAAACAGUGCGUCUAGUGUUUUUAGAAUCAAAUUUAAAGCCUACAUACGGUUUUUAAAAUUUAGCCAAAAAUCAAACUACCUCUAUUUUAUAAAAAAAUGUUUUAUAAAACAGUAACUGUACUUUUAUUUAUUAUUUUUAUUUAUUAUUUACAAAUUUCAUUAAAUUUUAAAUAAUAGAUAAGUAUCUUUAAUUUUAUUAUUAAUUAAAUUGGAAUUAAAAAACUUGUUGGUCAUGUGAAAAUGUUACAGUUGUGUUAGCUGUGUUGUGGCUUGAAAAUCAUUCUAUCUCCAUAAGCAAACAUGUUAAUUAUUAUUAUCAUUAUAAUUUUAAUAAUUUUAUCCAAAAUUAAUCAUAUAUAUAUAUAUAUAUAUAUAUAUAUAUAUACAUAAAAAAUAUUUUUAUAUUUUAAUAAAUUUUUCUUUUUAUUUUUUAUUUUAAUAUAUAUGUAUAUAUAUUAAAUAUCUUUAAAAUUUUGUAAAUAAAAAUUAAUCAUAUUUCUUAGAAUAAAAUAAAGUAGAAAUAAAUGAAAGUAUUAUGAUGAUUUUCGAAAAUAAAUCUUAUUCAAUCACUUUCCAAAAAAAUCCAAAUUUUACAAAAUUACAAUAUUAUCAAUUUAAAUUACGAAAUAUAAUUUAUCCAAUUAAUAAUACAAAAGUGUUCUUUUAUUACAAUUCAUCACAAAUGAAUUGAGAUAAAUAAUAGUUUCGAAGAGGGAAAUCAAAAUCAUAUAGAUAGGAACCAAGUUCUGAAUUUUACACCAUAAUAAGAACUUUUCUUUUAAUUAAGAUAUGUUACAAUUUAAGUGCGUGAAAAUUCAAGCAGCUAAUCGUCCAAAACUUUUCAGAGUGACUCCAAAAAUACAUUUAUUACAAUUUUUUCUUAAUUAUUAACAUUAAUUUUUUCUAUGGCCUAGUUAGGAAACUAUAGUUUGAUUAUAAAUCUUGUUUGUAGGCAACAUAAGAAGAAUUAAUGACAUACUCAGCUAAAUUUAGGCGAAAGUUACUUCAAAAAAACUUUCUUCCAACCAAAUAUAUAGAAUUAUGCACUAAAACAAGAUUUCUGAGUAGAACAAAAUAAUGUGUGGUCUACAUUAUGCUUUUGUAUAGUGACUACGUACUUUUUUCUUUUAUGUGAAAAAGUUGUGGCAAUAGAUACAUGAAGAUGACAAGUUAUUACUCACAUAGGCAUUCAUUGUACUUUAUGCUCUCUACAAAAACUUAAGACCAUAUUACAUAGAUUUUGGAAGUGCCAAAAAGCUUAUGAAAUUUGGGAUCGGACCACCUCAAUCUUACAUAAACUGAUAUCAAAUCCUAAAAAAUGGGAUCCCUGAAAUGUAUUUUUGUAUAAACAAUAUAUUUUUACUAAAUCCUGUGCAAUUUAAAUGUUUUUGUAAAAUUUGGUUAUUUCUAAGAAAUAUUUGUUUGUAGACCAUUUAGAUUUAAAGAAAUAAUCUUGUCUUUGAAAAGAAGAUGGAGUGACAUCCAUGAAAAAAAUGUUCUUUAGAGGCUUAAUAGAGUAUGGUCAAAUUAAUUAGUUAGCCAUCAAGAAGAUUUUUUUAAAAAAUAAAUUGAAUAAAAAUAAAAAAUAAAAAUAAAAUGAGCACAAGACUACUCUCUUCAAUAAAUGGAACAAACCAUAGAUGAAAAAACACCUACCUGAUACCAAAAUGAUCAAGGUACUUAAUGGAAUUUUAGUACACCCCAAUGUGGCUUGAUAAUAUACAAAAAUGUUAAUGUUGAGUUAUUAGUAACUUUACUUAGAACUCUUACUCUACCUAAGAGAUAAGUUGUUUGUGUAUCCUCUUAUGUUUUUGUAGACAGUAUAAAGUUUCUCUAUCAACGCAAAGGAAACACCCCAUUUUUGCAUCAAAACAAAUUAAAAAUCAAAAACAUCUCUCACAUCAACUGCACAAGAUAUAUCCGCCAAGAUUCGAACUCAAGACCGCCAAAAAUAAACCCUUGGAAGCGAUGGUGACCUGGGCAACUUCAGGGUGAUCGAUCAGACACGCGGUCCAGGAAGGCGGCAGUGCGCGGGGGGGGGGGGGGUCCCAAGCGAGGUGACCACGCUUCCACACUUACCCGAAUACCGGACACGCGGGGCAGUCUUGGGUCGUCCCUAGAGGCUGCGGGAAAAAACCUGAGCAUUCCGCGACGGAAACGGCCCCCAAACCAGGAGGCCUCCGGAGGAGGGAGGGAGGGAUAUAAAAAGGAGGCCAAAGGGGCAAGGCAAGGGGGAAGGGGCCAGGGCAAGGUAUUAAAAAGGAACCCAAGCCAAGGGGGAAGGGGGAAGUGGGUGAAUGGGGCAAAACGCCCUCGAAUGCUGGCAGGGCUCCCCACUCUCCCUGUUACCAGCUCCCCUAGUUGGGGCAGAGGGGACAAGCAUCGUGACCCGCUUCCCCGCAUGUUGCUGCUGUGCGGCACCCCAAUGCCCACCUAUUUUUGGCGCUCCUCCACCCCAGCUCAUAAUUCCCCUCGCUCAUUAUUAGCAACGUAGUUGGCUGCCACUGGGGCCCCCAACUGUCUUCGACACCUCCAUCCUCCUCCUCCCCCUCCUCUCCAUGUCAUGCCAACGUGAACUUGACGAGGAGGAGGCGGCCCGGCACAGAUCAAGUUUCCAAAUGCGGCGUUGGAGUCUUGAUUCCUUUUAUCUGCCCAGGAUGGGAGUGCAGGGUUGUCUGGGCUGACCUCCAAAUUUUCGUUGCGCGCGAAGCUUGACAGAAACUCGGUCUCGCUCGCUGUCUCUCUCUCCUCCUUAGAUUAUCCAAACAUAUCUAUUGUCUAAUUACUCCUGCAAUGUCAGAGAUCAAGUGAUGACACGAGAAACGCCAGCCAAACGUCAACUUUUUGCGUGGCAGAUGGGCCCAUGCUGCAACAACGCCUCCCGCUUCCGAAAGCCUUUCAUCCUUCUGUGAGAUUCUAUUAUGUGUGCAGGAAUUCUGUACCACAUAUAGAUGAGGAGUUCUUCUUUCUUCGUUCCUUCCUUCUUUCCUUCCUUUCUGUGUUUUUACCUUUUGUGUUAGAAAAGGGUGGAUACUUUGCUAUUCUUCCAAGUAAACUUCCUGUUCUAAAACUUCAACGCUUCAGAGGAUAUCAGUCAUCCUUUGCGUCCACGUCAUCCGGAUCGCAAGACAGCACAGCAAGUGCCCAUAUUUGCUUCCUGGAUUAGUGACCUCAUCCAAAUUCCUCCGGUGAUUCCUGAUUAAACACCACCUCCACCGUGCUGCACUCCCAGUAUGCUUCCGAUACAACGAUCACCGGUCCUCUCAUCUAUUUGAGCAAUUAGAAACCCUCGGAGUGGUCUCACUGCUAAAAGUCGACUUCGCAAUUAGCAAGGAGCAUCAUUAUGCGAGCUUCUAGUCCUGAAGAGCUACAGAAUCCUUCUUGUUAUCAGUUACGAUUCUCCUGCUCCAUGUACGGCAUGCUGUUAUUUAACUAAUUAUACGGCAACUCAUCCAGUUUGCUUACUAACUUUGAUACAUAUAUUUCUAUAUACAUACUCACACACACACAUAGACUUAUAUAUUCAAUUAUUGACCGGGCUUUCGUGCACCGGAAUAUCCUUCCCUGCCCUGACCUGCACACCAAGCACCAACUCCACCUCCAUGGUUCACUGGAUUCACUGUUUCGUUUCACCUCAUCACCCGUUCCAGAAAUCACACGCUCAACGUCAAGCUCUUCACACACCUACCCACCCAUCCACACAUCGGUCCAUCCGUCCAUUCGUCCGUGUGUUUAUGGAUUCACCCACAAUUCAAGCAGUGAUCCGUGGGAUUCUGAGCUCUCAUGCACUGGUGGCUCCACCCGCCAAUACUCCGGCAACAAUUCCGGUUGAUCGGCCAGCUAUGGAGUAAAAUACGUGUUAACAUCGGGCAGAUAAAUCAGGGUAAGACGAGAUCCUCGCAAAACCAAGUGUCGACUCGCGCAAGGCACCAAAGAUAGAAAAUUUCUGAGCUGUAAGGGGGGGGGGGGGGCAUGAAGGGGGGAAAGGAGGUAGCCAGGGGUAGCCUGGAUUGUGUGGCAUCGGGCAAUCGUCACCUUGCGAAUCUUGCGUCUCAGUUACCCAUACUUCCAGGAGAAGGAGGAGAGGAGGAAACCGGGGCCUUGUCUGUCUGUCUGGCCCUGAACCCCCAUAUACUACUGUGGCUGUAGCUCUUGUUUGACAGGGCUCUGGGUUUACAGCAACGACCCAGCACAGCUCAGGCCACCAAUAAUCCAUUCCAGGUGCUUUGCUGAGAGACACCAGGAUAUGCAUCUCUACCACUGUGCCCACAAAUGCUUAACCUCGCUUUCAAGGGCUCGGAUGAUUGACGGAGUGAGUGCCCAGGGACACGGCCUCCUGGUUCACGCACCUCACUUGCUUGUGUGAGUUUGAACGUGUAUAAGUGUCUAUAUUAUACUGGUAAUAAUAAUAAUAAUAAUAAUUGUCAUAUUGAGGAGAAUGGGUGUCCAUGUACAGGGAGGGGAUGAUUCAAGACCGAGAACAAUUAUGAAGAUGUUCACAUAAAAUUAAAUAAAAUAAAAUAAACAAACAAGUUUCUUGGACCAAAUCGAUCCUUAAUAUCAUGUCAACUUUAGCAUUUGGAUAAACUUGGGAGUAUUCUCUAACAACAAUGAAUUAUGUCGUGGUCCCAAAUCAACAAGAAUACUUCUUUUUUUAAUAUUUAAUUCAAAAAAAUUGGACACAAUAGUAAUCAAUCUCACAAACUUAUGUGCAAUUUGUAAAAAGUUAAAGCAAACCAAAAUAAACAACAUAAUUCCUUGUUUACUCUAAUUGAUUUUUUUUUUUGUUCAUUUUUUGUAAGUAUAAAAUAUUCUAUCUAUACAUCUAUGUAAAUUAAAAUUUAAAAUAUUGAUUUUAUGAUAUGAUUUUUUAGGUGUAUAUAUUAAAUUGAUUCAUCUAAAUCUUAUAUCAGCCCACUAUCAAUAAAAAUACAAUUGUUCCUUCCACCAGAACAAGUAUUAAUCAUUUUCAUUAAUUAGCAUCUUCAAAAACUUAUAUUCUUGUUACAUAUCUCUUCCUAAUCCUUCUGCACAAUUCACUAACUUUUCUACAAUGUAACAUUACUAAUCUCUCUUGUUUUUUUUAUCUUUGGAGUUGCUCCAUUAUAGCCCUUUCUAGAAGUUUCAUUAUCUACCCUUCUCACUCCUUACAAAAUCAACACAUCAUCUAGUGCAAAAUUGAGAGAUCAACAAGGGAAUACAAAGUCCUAUACAAUGCAAUAGAGAACAAGAAGAGCGAAGUGGAGACAACUGGAUUAGUUUAAGUUUGAAGAGGUUCAAUUUACAAUUCCAUAUUUUAAAUAUAUUAUUAACUUGGUUUUCAUUUAUCUUUAGAAUUUAGAAUUUUAUUAGGUUUUUUAAAUAAAAAACAAUUUAUAAUAAAAAUAUUUAAAAUAAAUUAUUUUAUUCUUUUUUAAUUAAAAUUUUAAUUAGAAAAAACUACUUUUUAUACUAUAAAAAUUGAAGAAUAUAAAAUCUUUGUAAAAUAUAAAUAACAGAGAAAUUGACUAAACAUGUUUUGGAUUUCCUUGUAACAUCCUACUUUUCGAGGAAUAUAAGUUAAAUAAUAAUUAUUUAAAAUAUUACAUAAUCGAUUAUACUAUACUAUGUAAAAAUAAUUCUAUCAAAACAUUUGGCUUUGUAAAUCUUUAAUUAAGAAAUUCAUAAAUGAAUAACCAUUGAAAAACUAUAUAUUCUAAGAAAUUUAUAAUUUAGUAAGAUCUUAAUAUCAUUAAUCCAAUUUUUGAAAAUUUGCAUGUACUCAUAAUUUUUUUUUUUUUUUCUAUUUUUCUUUUUUUUUCAUACAAUGAAACAAGUAUAAUUCUCAAUCAACAGAUUGUAACCAUAACAAAGUCUACAUCACAGUUUGAUUUUAUCUUCUACAACAUCAUGGAAUAUUGCACAACAUCAUGGAAUAUUGCACAACAUCCAUAAGUAGCUCUAGAGAAUUUUAUAAUAUAUUUUUAACACAUAAUAGUAAUAAAUAAGAUAUUUUGAAUUUUCCCAUUCAAAAUAAUAAAUUAGAUCAACAUAAUUUAGAGAAUAAAAAUCUUAAAAUAUUAUGCAAUCUUACAUAGGCACAAUCCAUGGUUAAGAUGCCAUAUUCCAUAUAUAUAUAUAUAUAUAUAUAAUUCUGGAUAAACUUUGUUAAUAGCAUAUACUUAAGUUGCAAUUACUGUAUGAGCAGUGGAUGGUGACCAAAUCUUAUUCACAAAAUCUUACCAAGACACAAAUUUCAAUUGGUUUUUGAAAAAACUGGUUAUUCUAAAAAUAAUUAAGUGAAAAGAAACCAUUUAAUGUAACAUAAUAUAAUAAUACAUUAUAAUUUAGAAUAAAAUCAUGAUUGUUAUGUACAAUAUUUUCAAUAGGAUAAUAAAUUUCCAAGUGAGAGGAUGAGAUUCAUUAGAUUUGGUGGUGGAAUAUCACUGAGUAUAACAAAUUAAUUUUAGACCUUGCAAUUAGUAAUUAACUGUUGAAAAUAUUCAAUCUUCCAGAACAUAUAUUCUGUUUAGAAAAAAUACGUAUUUAAUUUCAAGAAAAUCUGAAAUAAAUCUAUUGUUGAAAAUCUUUUCUACCUUAUCAGAAUCAAUCUAAACAUAUGGCAGCGUUCAAUAAUGUCACAGGAUAAUAAUAAACUUUCAUAGUUCAGCCUUCUGUGAUCAGUACUUACAAUUUGGGCUGAAAUUUUAAUAUAAUAUGAGAAUCUGUCUUUAAUGUAAUUUUAUUUAUUUAAUAAAAAAAUAUUAAAUAAAACAAAAAGUAUAUACAAACGUUUGAUUGUAGAUAGUAUCCUUCAAUUUGAACACUGCUGAUGAAAUACAUAAUUGAAACUUUUAGUAUAUCCAGUUGAUCCUUUGUUAUCCAAUCCUUCAUAAGCCAAUGUCCAAUACAAAUCAUGCUCCACCAAUUGCAUUCAUGUAUUCUAAAUUGAUACCCUUUGAUAUCCGAUAGAAUUUUUAAGCAUGUGUCAUGAAAUCCAUUUAAAGAGGGUGUAGAUGAAGGCCAACAAAAAUUGUACUCUACAAAGGAUAACUAAUAGAUUCUAUAAUAUAAGUGAUGCAUAAAACCAAUAAGUAAUUACAAUUGGAACUAAAGUCAAGAAUUGAGUGAAGUGAGGUGCUUUUUUUUGGCCUCUCAAUGUAUGUUCAAUUUGCCAAGCAAUAUUAUUGGCUAUAAGAUGGGAUGGAAUUGAAAGAUUAAAGAUCUUAACAAAUCUUUGGCAGACAUCUAUUAUAGACAUACAUAUUUAUCUUGAUAAUUAUCUAGAUAAUAAGAAUAGGUAGAAGUAAGUCAAAGUAGAUAAAUAUGAUAUUAUGUUGUAGAAAGCUUCCUAGAAGCUUCACAAAUGUUGCUUUGCCUUUAUACAUAUCUAUAGGUGAUUGGUAGGUUGAAAACUUGGCCAACAAGGAGGCCACAUGUUGGCAUAUUGACCAUUUGUAGUACAAGUUGGACAUAUAGCGCACACCUAGGAAACUUGCCUUGCAAAUUAGACAUGUGUCUUGCAUGUUGGAUGCAUAUUAGAGGUCCUAUAGCAUGUCCCCAUAUAUUUUUUACUUAAGUACUAUAUUUGGAGGCAAGAGUGAGGCCUUCUUCGCUCUUGUCAACUCUUUUCUUACUUUUAGUCUAGUUUCAAGAGUCUUAUGUUUUCCAGUCUUUGACAAUAGCCAUUCCAGUUCUUCUUUGAAUAUACAUACUUUCUUUUAUUUUGACACAGAUUCCACGACUUUAUGCAUCUUCUUCAAGUUUGUGUCUUUGACAGAUUGAUAAGAGUAUACAUACACUAUCAGAGCUUUGUCUUUUCUUGAUUAAAAAUGGAUUAUCCCUUUCUCUUAAUAAGACAUAUACAUAUUAGAAGUUGUGGAUUAUCUUCUUUUAAACUGAUAAUGUUUCUAAAAAAUUAUUUUUUUGAUUCUUGAGUAUUGUAUUAUAUGAGAAUAAACAUCUUUUUUUUAUUGUACUAGCAUGGCAGAGCUUGUUAAAAUAAAGAGUGCAAUGGCUCAAAUGUAAGAGCAAAUGAGAGAGUUAAUACUUGCACUGCAUCAACUUAGUAUACUACCACAAAGAACAACAAGAUUAUCAGGCAAUGAAGAUAUAAAAAUGAUUGGAGUUGCUUUAACAUCUAUACCAAGCUAUAUUAUUGCUCCUACAAUGGAACAUUGUUCAAAUUUCAAAGAACCAAAAAUUAGAUUGCCUAAGUAGUUUGAUGGCACAACAUCUAAAUUUUGAGGAUUCAUCAAUCACGUACAAGUAGUGAUUGAAUUACAACCUCAAAGUUAUCCAACUCAAGGAUCACAAAUCAAGUUUAUUGGAAUACUACUUUCAAAUUUUGCUUUAUCAUGGUUUUCAUCAUUUCUUGAACAACGUGAUCUGAUAUUGGAUAAUUUGGAAGCAUUUUUAGAAGAGUUUUGAUCUAUGUACGGAGAACAUGAUGCAAUUCGUAUUGCAAUCAACAAGAUUCAUAUUUUGGGAUAAUACAAUUGAUCAAUGAUAUUAUACGCUUCAUAAUUUUGAUAGUUAGUAACAGUUAUUAAGUGGGAUGAUGCAACACUCAUCAGCCAAUUUCUUUAUGGAUUAUAAUAUGAAGUAAAGAAAUUGAUGCUCAAUUUACCUAAUUCUUAGACAUUAAGUGAAACAAUUGACUUUAUUGUGAAAUAUGACAUUUGGCUUUUUGAGUUUUGAUUUGAGAAUUGCACAAGAGAACCUCAAUAUUAUUACAAUUCAAUGACGACACCAACGGCUUCUCAAUAUAAAUAUUUAGAAAUAAAAGACAUGCAAAUUGAUGCAGUAUGUUUUAAACUUCUUACUAAAUAAGAAAAGACUCGUCAUUGUCAAGGAGGACUAUGUUUAUAUUAUCGAGAAGCUUAGCAUACUCCUCAAUGUUAUCCAAAAAAAUGAUGCAACUAUAAAAUGAAGAGUAUUCAUGUCAAAGAUGAAAACAUGUUAAAAAAUGAAUUUAUCCAGCUAUAAUAAGGAUCGUACAGCUGGAAUCUUGUACAAUUCCUAAUGAAGGUCCUAUUCUCUCCUCAGUACCUUCUCUUUGUUUUACAAUAGAUAUAUGUUUAGGAUCUAAUAAUCACAAAGUUUCUAUCUUAAUAGAUUCAAGAGCCUCAUCUUAUUUUUUAGAUGAAGAAUUUGUUAAAAGUCAUAAUAUACAAUUAGUACAAAAAAUUAAACCCGUACAUGUAGAAGUCAUAGACAAUCCUCUUUUAUCUUCUAGAGAUGUUACUCAUAAAACACUGCCUAUAGAUGUAGUAAUAAAUGGUCAUAAUAAUUGUAUUAUUUUUAAUAUAAUUAGAUCUCCUUCUAAUCUAGUCAUUUUAGGUUUAUUGUCGCUAAAAAAGUAUAAUCUUGUAAUAGAUUGGAUUUCUCAAAAACUUGAAUUUUUUCAAACAUCAUUAAAAGUUUUUCCAAUCCAGUAGAAAGUCAUGAGUCUAGUAUAGCCAAACCUAUACUUGUAAAUGUAAAAAUUUUGUUGCAUGGUGCAAAAGAAGGAUCAUCUUUUGUUAUUUAUGCCACACUCAUUUUAAAUGAUGGAAAGAUUUCAAGUAAAAUUCCAAGUCAAUAUCAAGAUUUUUAAGAUGUUUUUGAGAAGAAAAAUGCAAAUAUUCUCUUGGAGCAUUGUCCAUAUGAUUGCUCAAUCAAUCUUAAAGAAUGAACUCAACUGCCAUUUGCUCCAAUCUAUAGUUAAUUACAAAAUGAAUUGGCUGAACUGAAGAAGUAUAUUGAUGAAAACUUGGCCAAGUAUUUCAUAUAUCAUUCAAAAUCUCUAGCAAAAACUCCUAUCUUACUUGUAAAGAAAAAUGAUGGAUUACAGUGAAUGUGUGUAGAUUAUCGAGGACUCAACAAGAUUACCAUCAAAAAUACUUCAUGUGCCUUUGAUAUCUAGACCUCAUGAUCAAUUAAAUCAAGCUAAGAUCUAUAAAAAAAUAGAUCUAAAAGGAAUACUCAAUCUGAACUGGAUUAAAGAAAGAGAUGAAUAAAAGACUACAUUUCAAACAAGAUAUGGACACUUUGAACAUAAUGUCAUGCCUUUUAGAUACACAAAUGUACCAACUGCUUUUCAAUAUCUUAUGAAUGAUAUUUUUUGUGAGUUUUUAGAUGAUUUUGUUGUCUGUUACUUAGAUGACAUUUUAAUCUACUCUAAGAAUGUAAAAAAACAUAAAAUUCAUGUUCAUCAUGUGUUACAAAAACUUAGAGAUGUGAGAUUAUAUGUCAAGAUGAAAAAGUAUGUAUUCCACACUACUCAAGUUGACUUCUUAAGAUACAUCAUUUCAAACAAUGGUCUAAUGAUGGAUCUUGUAGAAUAGGCAAAUAAACUUUGUGGUAAGUUACUGGUUGGUUAUAGAUAACCUUGAAAAUUAGAUUGAUGGUUAGGCAGUUUAGUUGGUGAUAAUAGGUUGUUAGUAGAAUAAAUGGUUAAGAAUUCAAAGGAUUAUAACCUUUGGAAUUUGCUGGUCGAUGGUCCAUCUUUUGGUAGGAUAAAGAAGUUGAAGAAAGAGAGAUCGGGGCCAGAGUAUGAUAGUCGUAAGUCGGGGCAUGCUUGGUGCGACCUCUUUUUUAUUUCUUUGUUCUUGACGAGUAAUGGAUAGUUUCUGAAUACUGAGAAGUUAGUUUGGAGUGCCAGACUGUGAGUGUUGUAAGUUGAGAUAUUCAAUUUUGUAUGAUGAAUUGAGAAAUUGAAUACAAUAGAUAAGUUGGAAAUCAAUAAUUCAAUAUAUAUAAACCACAAAGAGAGUAUGUGGGAGAUGAACGGAUAAGAAUAUUGAAGUAUUGUUCAAUUGAUAGUCAUAAAAUGGAUUAUGAAUUGAAUUAAGACAGAAGUAGUAAGCCGUGGUAUUUUGUAGUUGAUAAUUGAUUUUAGAUAGCUAGAGUACAGUCAAUUGUGACACUAAUAGACCAGAUUCAUAUAACCAUUCUUUCCCCGUGUUCGAACCUACCUAUAUUAGUUCAAUUGCUUUAGUAUAUUAAAGCUUGAACACAACGAGAACAAUAUUUUGGCACAGCUGCCGAGGAAAUGAUAAUAAUAUAAAAUGUUAGAAAUUGAUUGUAUGGGAGAUGGAAUUAUAUGUUGAAUAGGAACCUGAGAAGAACCAAUUUUAGGGUUACAAAUAUGUAAGUUAUAAUUUAAGGCAGUAUUGAUUUUGUAAAGAAGAAUGAAAGAUUAUGAGUAAUAAUCAUGAAAGAGAGGAUUAUCAAAGAAUUAAGUGAGAAGCGAAAGAAAGUCAAGAGCGAUGUUGUAGUAUAAAUGUUUAUAGUAUGUAAAAAUUAGUUAGAACACAUUAAAUAUUAAUAAAUCUAAAUGUAUGUUAGAGUGGAUAAUAGAUUAAAUUAAAAAGAGUUGGUAUGAAAAAACUUUAUUUUGUUUUCCUUACUUAGUUUGAUUAUAGUAUAUAAAAGUUAUAGAACCUUAAUGUUAAGUAUGAAGCCUUGAGAGGAGAUAGGGGCCUAAAGAUGAAGAUUUAAACUAAUAGGAGGUUAAUUGGGAGGGAUGAAACCAAGGCAUGGUUGAAUGAAAGUAGAAAUAAGGAUCUUCAUCCCCAUUGGUCGAAAUCCAUACCCAAUGGGCUUUUAGGAGGCUGCCCGCGACCUAGAUAAGGGUUUCGGCGACUUCAAAGAGGCCAUUAGGAAAUCAGAGGCAAGGGUUGUAAAGUUUAGGGUUUUGGCUACAAUUUUUGUGCAAAUUUUAUAGGGUUUGGAGUUAGGGUGAAUAAGUUAUAGCCUUUUAAGUUAAGGUGUCAAUUUGAGACCUACUGUUACUCUUUUGAGUUUAAGAGGAGUCUUAUGGAAGCUUUUGGAGAUCGGAAGGUGCGGCUGGGAGAGCAACUUCAAGACAUACAUCUUUUGCGAAGAAGAUUUUGCAUUCGGAGUUUGUGUAAAGGAGUUAUAGGGAGUUAAAGACAGUGCAUUCAAAUCAAAGGCAGUAAGUGAGCGGUUUUGUUCAAAGUAGUGUUAGGAGCCAUUACUUGAGUUUUCGAACGAAAUUUUGGCUCAAACUUUCGGAGAAUGUAAAAAUUUGUGUUAAAAAGCUAUCUAUACAAGUUUCGUGGCAUUUAGACUUAUGUUUUGUGAGAUAUGAAGAAAAUUG
Molecule: long non-coding RNA, 53881 nt
Filed under: Physcomitrium patens
Lineage: Eukaryota; Viridiplantae; Streptophyta; Bryopsida; Funariales; Funariaceae
Description: long non-coding RNA (PPAT_LNC003331)
Source: RNAcentral